ACGAAAUAAGUACUCCCUCUCUAAUAAUAGUUGUCUACUAUUGACUUGACACACCUCUUAAGAAACUAUAAAUAGAAUGGUAGUUUUACUGUAUCACCCUUUGAAUAUACUCCCUCCGUCCACAAUUGUUUGGCAGGUAUACUAAAAAUAGAUGUUCAAGAUUAAUUGUUAAUUUAAACAAUCAAGAAAUAAUUAGUCACUUUUUUCCAAUUCUGCCCUUAAUGAUAGUGUAGUUCAAUUGAAAAGUUAUGUGGACUUUUGGCAUUCUUGGUAUAGUAGAGUUAUAUUAGUCAAAUUACACCUUGUAUUAAAUUUUCCUUGAGGGGUGUGCAUGACCUUACCCUGACAAACAAUUGUGGACGGAGAGAGUAAUAAAUACAAUGUCUUGAAUAAUGUAAUAGGGAAAUGACUAUAAUUAAUGAUAAAGAUAAAUUAAGAACUAAGGGUGUGUUUGGUAUGAAAGAAAAUGUUUUCCAUGGAAAAUGUUUUCCUGGAAAACAAGUUGAUUUUUGACUUAUUUUCUCAUGUUUGGUUGGUGAGUAGAAAAUAUUUUUCGGAAAAGAUUUUUAGCGUUUGAUCUAUGAAUGAAAAAUAUUUUUGAGAAAUAUCUUUUAUUUUUACCAGACUAGAAAAUAAUUUUUGAAAUUGAAAAUAGUUUUUAAAAACAAACUUAAAUUUUUUUAUUUUUUUUUGGGGGUGGGCNNNNNNNNNNNNNNNNNNNNNNNNNNNNNNNNNNNNNNNNNNNNNNNNNNNNNNNNNNNNNNNNNNNNNNNNNNNNNNNNNNNNNNNNNNNNNNNNNNNNNNNNNNNNNNNNNNNNNNNNNNNNNNNNNNNNNNNNNNNNNNNNNNNNNNNNNNNNNNNNNNNNNNNNNNNNNNNNNNNNNNNNNNNNNNNNNNNNNNNNNNNNNNNNNNNNNNNNNNNNNNNNNNNNNNNNNNNNNNNNNNNNNNNNNNNNNNNNNNNNNNNNNNNNNNNNNNNNNNNNNNNNNNNNNNNNNNNNNNNNNNNNNNNNNNNNNNNNNNNNNNNNNNNNNNNNNNNNNNNNNNNNNNNNNNNNNNNNNNNNNNNNNNNNNNNNNNNNNNNNNNNNNNNNNNNNNNNNNNNNNNNNNNNNNNNNNNNNNNNNNNNNNNNNNNNNNNNNNNNNNNNNNNNNNNNNNNNNNNNNNNNNNNNNNNNNNNNNNNNNNNNNNNNNNNNNNNNNNNNNNNNNNNNNNNNNNNNNNNNNNNNNNNNNNNNNNNNNNNNNNNNNNNNNNNNNNNNNNNNNNNUGGUAAAAAAUUUAAAAAUUGAAAUUAAAAAUAAUUUUUAAAAAUAAUUUUUAAUAUUUUUUUGGGAGGGAAUGGGGUUAGGGGGUGGGGUAGUGGUGAAGGUGGGGUAAAAAAAUUGAAUCUAAAAAUAAGCUUCAAUUUUUUAUUUUUUUUGGGGGAUGGUUGGGGGGGUUGGUUUGAGGGUAGGGACAAAAUAAAUUGAUUUUUUCAACAAAAAAGUAAUUGUAAUUUGAAGUUGGAAGAGAGUUUUGGAAAAUGUUUUCCUUAAAAUUUGAAGGAAAGUCAUUUUCCUUAAAUUUGAGGACAAUUAGUUGAUUUGAAAAACAUUUUCCGAAACAUUUAACCCAACCAAACAUGAGAAAAUUGGAAAACAUUUUCCGGAAAAUGUUUUCCAAUUUUCUCAUGUUUGGUUGGGUUAAAUGUUUUGGAAAAUGUUUUCCAAUUUUCUCAUGUUUGGUUGGGUUAAAUGUUUUGGAAAAUGUUUUCCAAUUUUCUCAUGUUUGGUUGGGUUAAAAAAAAACAUUUUCCUUAAUACCAAACACACCCUAUAAAAUUAUCCAUAAAAUAAACAAAUAUUGUUGGACAUCUAUUUUUAUAUAGUGUACAAGUAUUAUUGGACGGAUGGAGUACAAUUUAAUGCUCACUUUCCAAAACCAUAUGUCAAAAUACCAAUUUCUAGCAACAAUCCAAAACUCAAAUAUCAAAAAAUAAAAAUAAAAUCAGCAUGACAUGUGUCCCUCCUGACAACAAAAAUUACACAAAUUUUGUGAAGGAGAAUUUAAUUCAAAACAAAGUAAAACGUGCCAAAUCCAUCUCCACCAUCUAUAUAACCGCCGGUCUCAAAUCACAGUCGACAACCACCGCUUCCGCCGCCAUUUCCACGGUUUCACCGCCGCAGGACGUCCAUUUCCAAAAGCAAUUAAAUAUGUCCACUCUCUACAAUCCUCUAAUUUUCACCAUUAAAAACCCAAAAGUCACCCUUAAACCUCACACUUCUCUUCCUUCUUCAGUUCCGACUUCUAGGCUUCGAAAAUUUCCCAAUUUCUCAGUUCAAUCCUCCAUUUCCUCAUCCAAUGACCCGGAAAAACCGACCUUUAUUACACCGGACAAUGAUAAAGCUGACGAUAAAACAGUGGAGUUCGUGGAUGAAUGGGGAGAGAAGUCGGAGCCGGAACCCGGACCGGUUACGAAGUUAGCGGAUUCGGAUCCUCCGAAGUAUGAGGAUGAGUGGGGUAAUGGAAGUCCCGGAGUUGACGGGAGUGUUGGAGAGGACGAGAAGCUUCUAGAGCUGAAAAGGUGCUUGGUGGAUACAGUUUAUGGGACGGAUUUCGGAUUUCGGGCUUCAUCGGAGAUUCGGGCCGAGGCAUUGGAGUUCGUUUCUCAGUUGGAGGCAGCCAAUCCUACUCCAGCACCAACUGAGUCUCCUGAGUUGCUUGAUGGGAACUGGCUUUUAGUGUGAGUUUUUGCUUCAUUACUUGAUUAUUCAGUUACUUCUUUUACUUUAAUUCCUCCAUUUAUUACGUUUUUUGUUGUUUUAAUAUGAAAUUAGCUGAGUUUUGAUACUUUCCGUAAGCAUGCUGGCUUUGGUUCAUCGAAAAAUGGGUGGUUUACAGGACAACCCAAAUAACAUUUUCUAAUAAACUGAUAUUGAUCUCAUGGGGCUUAUAUUUAAGGGUAAUUGAUAGUUUCAGAUAGUCAAAUUGACUUUGAUUUCAUUCUCUAUGGGAUAAGGCAUUGAUGGAAUGGGUAGUGGUAUGCUUAUCUUGAGCAUUGACACCACAGAGCAAGUUGCUCUCCCCCAAUUCUAGGUGCAUGAUAGAUGUUAACCGUACAAUGUAGGCAUUGCACCCAAAGCAGUAGCUAGAACUUUAUAGUGGGAGUUCACUAUGCAAGAUUGGUGCAUCAUAACAGUUUUAAGAGGGAGCUCGAGAUUGGCCUCUAAAUAAGCACCUUAUGAGGUGAGCCGUUAGCCGGUUACUUGUCAAUAUGCUUGCAUUCGUCUGUAUCCUCCAGUUGUUACCAACCAUGGUUAAAGACCAUAUAUUCUUUGGUUCGUCCUGUAAUAACAUGCUUUGGAUUUCUGAGAAUUCCAUAACUAAUUAGCCUGGUAAUCUGGGAAUAGGAUGAACCAAUGCUUCUUAUAUUAUUUUAAUCUUGAUGUGAUGUCUUUUCAACUAAGUAUUGCACUUUCUGCACAUUGCAAACUACCAUUAAUCUAAACAAUGUCUGCAAACUCUAAUGUGAAAUAUAUUUUACUUUUCUUCUUACCCUUUUGGCUAGUCAAACUAGAAUCUAUUCAAGAGCGCAACAAGUAUUCAUCGAAAAAUUGUAGUAGUAACUGGAGCUUGAGUUCAUGAUUCAUAUUCAUUCUAUGGUUUUCCCAUUGGGAUUUAAAGCCUCCUGGUUGCUGCUUCUAUCUUGGGAGGAAAGUUUCACUUAGCUUUGCUCCUGUUUGAGAGUUCACUUCAACAACUAAUGAUCAUGUUAUCACUUUAUCUGUCAUUAAGAUGUUCUUUGGCUAGCAUUCACUCCCUUGUAAAGUUGAAUAUGUUUCAUUUUCUACUCAUAUCCAUUUCUGGUCUUAUACCAUAACAAACAAGUUAGGUUCAAACUUACAACAUGUUGUACUGAGUUAUUAACCCCGCAUAAAGCAUGAAACCUAACCAAUUAGAGCAUUGGUUGCAUAAUAUCACCUUUGAUUUAUCAUGUUGUUACUUAAUAGAUUGACAUGCCUGCAUUUUUUGGAGCUUUCUUUUCGAAGCAGGUUCUGAAAGGAACCAGCAGUCUGCCCCUGCAUAAUCUCCAUCCUGCCAAAGAAAAAUAUUGAACUUUGCCAUCUAUAGUUCCCAAAUUUCUUCUCAUUUUAAUCAACUUCAUUGAACUAUAGGGAAGGGUUUUAACUAUCUUCCUGUGAAAAGGGGGAUUAUCUUAACGUAUAGUUGUUUGUUUUCAUUGUUAUCGUAACUCUUAUGUAAUGAUUGUUGUUGUUAUUAUUAUUUCCCUGGUUUUACUGGGAAAGUCGAGUUUUACUAAGUACUGGAAUUUUAAAUGCUUGGAAGUGGUGAUAGACUGUUUUUAAUAGUUUUGAAGUACAAUUUUAUAGGAUUAGAUAUGAACUUAAGAUCGAUGACAUUUACUAUCUUGGUUCACAUAUCACAGAAGAAAACCUAAAUGCUGAAGAUAUGCCUUUUAAAGCUAUAUUUAUAGUUGAUGUCCUGUUAAGGGUUUAUUCGUCUAUAAUAUAGAGUAGGAAAAUGGCAUUGAGGCAUAAACGUUGAUGAUACUUUGUUGUGUGCUAUGUAUUAUUAAAAGUUUAUUUCUUCAUAAGUUUCUUUCUAAAGAUUUUUGGUUGAACACAUCAACACCACCUUAUACCUUGCCAGUAAAUUUCAUUUGGACGCUCGAAGUAUGGUGUGUUUCAAUUGGGCACCUGAAUACAUGAUUAAGUAUUCCUGUUAGACUCUUCCGAUUCAAAAUUUUGAAGAAAGCUUUUGCGAGUGUUCUCAAGCUUCUAUUACAUACAUAAGUCAACUACCUAAAAUAUGUCAUCUCCUUUACUUAGACACAGUAGUCUCAAUAAGCCAUCAGGCCUAAUCAAUGUCGAUGUAUAUGAUUAAAGGGAUAAUUUUGUAACUUAGCCCAAACUUAAGGGACAAUUUUGGGCUUUUCCUCCUGAACAAUGCAACAUUUUGUUGUGAAAUUUCAUGCAGAAACUGAUUUGAAGUAAAUGAUAAGUGAUGUAUUUGCAGCAAAUAAUCUUAUUUUUCUUCCUCAAUCUGUCAGGUUCACUGCAUUUUCUGAGUUGUUACCUCUUCUUGCUGUGGGCAACAUUCCUCUGUUGAAGGUAGAAAAGAUUAGCCAAGACGUAAAUACAAACAGCUUGACUAUAGAGAAUGCGACUACAUUAUCAAGCCCUGUAGCCACCUUGUCCUUUAGUGCUACUGCCACUUUUGAAGUUCGAAGCCCCUCUAGAAUACAGGUACCCUUGUUGACUCCAUUCUAAUUUCUUUAGAAAGGUACUUGCAGCAAUAUUCUGAACAAAGAGAAAAAAAUGAGUUAGUGGUUCAGCCAAAUGUUAGUUUGGAAUUCAGAAACUAAUUAUGCAAGAUAUUGGGAAAUUGUAGAUGGGGAUUAUAGUUUUCUUGGUUAACUUCUGUAGAGUAUGUUGGGAGAUUCUUACAUUUUCCUUCUGCAUUUGGCUGACAACUGCUUACUUUUGUAGGUUGAAUUUAAGGAAGGGAAUUUUAAGCCUCCAGAAAUAAAAUCAAACAUAGAUCUGCCGGAAACUGUGGAUUUGUUUGGGCAAAAGAUAAGUCUCUCUCCAGUACAGCAAUCUCUAGGUCCUCUAGAAAACGCUGUGGCAGGUAUAGCACGAACUAUUUCUGGUCAGCCUCCUCUCAAGAUCCCAAUUCCAGGUGAAAGGACAAAAUCUUGGCUUCUCACAACCUACCUUGAUAAGGAUAUGCGGAUCUCCAGAGGCGAUGGUGGGCUUUUUGUGCUUGUUAAGGAAGGGAGUUCUCUUCUAUAUUAGUAGAGGUACCCAUCAUCCUAUAUUGUGAUUUACAGAUGCCUUAGGAACUGCGGUGGUAUCUACUGCUACGUCAAUUUAUUGUGGGAUGUAGAAUUUAACACUCCUUAGCUGUAAAUUGGGACACUCUUUUAGGACUUGAGUACUUCCACUGAAUUAUCUCAGGAUCAAGCUGUGAGAUUAGUACUAGUCGAAGUGUCUCUGCUCAAAUAAAAUGUGAAAUAGCUUUGCAUUUUCCUAUGUAGUAAGAUGACGAUUUCUUGUUAUGAGUAUUUAAUCAUUUGGGGGUCAAUCAUCAGUAAUUUCAGCUUAUCUGGAAAGAAAAAAACCUAACAAUUACGUUUAAUCUAGACUUAGCUAAUUCUAAUUUGGCAGCAACCCAUAUACACCAUAACUACCCAUGAAGAUAUCCUUCUCACUUGUUUUAGAGAAGACUGCAAUAUUGGUUCCCUUUCAUAUUACCAUCUCAACUUCCACUUACCAGUACUAGGCAACCAAAUAAUUUUAUUAUAGAGAUUUAUUUGUGAUCGAAGUGACUUGAUUGUAUAAAUAUCUUUUACGACGUUAAGUACUGUGCUGGUAAACUGAGUCUAAGAUGUGUGUGGCACACCACACUUUUUCUUUUAGGUAGAUGGAGUGGUUCAUUAAUGCAGAGUUAGCCUUGGAAGUCUUCUUGAUGAAAGUUGAACUUUUCUUUGUCCCAAAAUUUAUUUAUGAUAGUAAUAAUUGAAAUGGUUCUAGACUUUCUCCAAGUCAACAGUAGUGCUUUAGCAACCAAGUCAAAAUUGAAGACUUUUAUUUUUCACCAAAAGCUUUCUAAGAAUGGGUUGUUCAAAGAAAACAUGAGCAUCUCCAGUCAACUACAAAAUCCUUUUAAGUCUUGUUUAUACUUGUGGAUUUGAAAUUUGACAAAUUCACUAAAAUGUUCAACCAUGCUCCCUUUGGAUUUUUUCUUGUUUUGCUAUCAGAUUAUAAUUGUUUUAUUCGUAAUAAAUAAGUUAAAAACAAUUAGAAUAACAUAUCCACUGUAAUCUCACGAGUGUGAGGUUAAAAACAAUUGUUACAAAAAGUAAUAAAAAUUAGGAAAAUAAUUAUAAUAUGGAUAACUUCAAAAGAGGUUAAUGUGAUGAACCCAAACAUGGAGGCUAUUUUGAAAUUAUUCCUAAACUUAAUGAUUUGUUCAUUCAAUAGUAGAUUAAUUAGGCACAGUUUAUUUUUUUGGAGAAAUAAGUGAUUCUUUUGUCAGGUUAUAUUUUCCAAGAUCUAAAUGAUAAUACAGGAAAACUGCCUCCGUGUUGAUAUAAUAAAAAGUAUUUAAGAACAUUUCUAAGGGUUAUCGAUAAUUGACAGCUUUUAUAAUUAGUGGAUUAGUGAUCUGUUUUUUUUUUAAUCGAACAGCUCUUUUGGCAGCUGCAUUAUGGAGACCUUAAUUUGUUUUUAGAAUAAUUAAGAAAAAAUGAAUUAAUUAGUAAGUCGCACAUCACAAUUAUAUGCCAUAGCAUUAGUUAGUAGCUUCAUUUCACAUAAUUUAGUCAAUCUCACCCCACACCACCCAGCUAAUACCAACCUUCCAAAAGGUCCCUUAGUAUUAACAUAAUUCUUUUCGUGAAAUGUGUUGGAAUGGUUCAGAUCUCUCUAUCAAUAAUCAGUAUGGAGUUCGAGCGUUCUGAAAAUGGAAAAAAUUAUGUUGUGAGUGUUGCUAUAAUGCAAAUCCGAAUUGACUCAUAUCCCAAUGAACCUAAAUGAAAACAAAAAGGGUAAAGUUCCAAUCAAAAGCUACCAAGAAUCAUAAAGUAAAAGGAAAAAUUCUUUUGGCCAAAAUGGUAUUUUACCUAUGUUAUUUUACCUUUUAAAACAUUUUUAUCCUUUUAAUUUUAAUACAUUUUAACUAAAAAAUGGAAAAAAGAUCAGUUUAUUUUAAAAUAAAAAAGAUAUUCUAGUUUUUUAAAAUUUCUGGCUAAAUUCUGACCAAAUUUUCUGAUCAUUUAACAUUUAUUCAAAGUAAAAUUAUUGUCAACAACUCAAUAUACUAAAUUCAGAAUUAUUGAAUGCUUACUCACAAACUACCAAAUGUCCUACCAGCAGGCUCGCUCUUUGAAAAUUCAAUUCAAAUAGGAAAAGCCAACCGGCCAAUACAAGCCAAAAAACACAAAUUUUAUUGCAGUCCCCACGAAAAUGUCGCUGGAUUCUUCUAAAUUACCUAUUUGCUCCGUCUCAAUUUAUGUUAUAUUAUUUAAAUUUUGACUCAGCAUAAAGUUUUUUUUUUUUUUAAAAAAAGAUUUUUAAGAUUUGAACACAUUUUUUUGACUAUUUGUGUGUCUAUAAAUAAUUCAUUAAGGGUAAAAGAUAACUUAUAUAAUAAAAUCCUUUUCAAUUAUAAAAAAGUGACAAUUUACUUGAGACGGAUUUUAGCAGACCUUGAUACCAGAAGAUUAUAUAUACAUCGAUUGCUUAUAUAUAUAUUUUAUAAAUUAAUUGACCGAAUUAUAUAUUGAUAAAUAUCUUAUCUUUAAUUAUAUAUUGACUUCUCCUUUCAUAAUUAAACUUGUCAUUGACCUUGCGGAUAAUCUUUCAUCAUAACUUUUCGAUCAUUUGUGAAAAACGUUGAGCGUUGUUUCUUCAAAUUAUUUGAUAGAAAAACACAUCAUCAUCAACCAUGGGCGCUAAGGCCGUAAGGGUUCAUCUAAACCUCACACUCUAAAAAAUUAUAUAGUAUAUUUAAGAUUAAAAUUAAUAUUUUUGUAUGUGUAAAAUAUAUACAUGUUGAAUUUGUGUAACUUUUAAAAAAAAAUCUUGAAUAUGGGAAAUUCUGAGUUAGCCAGUCGGCACUAUCACAAUCUAUUUUUUGUUUGUUGUCAUAAAUAAAAUAUUGAAAAGCCAAAACAGGCCCACACGACAUGGGGAAUCUGCCAUGCCAAUCACAAAAAAGUAGUACUAGUAAUUACAAUAAGAAAUCUAGGCUGAAAAAACAAAAAGAGAAGAAAUUAAUAUUUUAUGUCUUAAAAUAUUUACGGUCCUUAUCAAAAAUAUAUACUCCUACUAGUUACUUCCAUAGUUUGCUUUUGCUGGUUUAAUAUUUUAAAAAAAUAUCUUAUUUAUUUUUACUUGUAAAUUUUAUCAUGUCGAGAAAAAUAUUCAUUUUUCAAUAUUAAUUACUUAUUUUUUGAAAUCAUUUUUCAAGAUUUAAGAUUAUACAUCAAUUAAUGCGAGUAUUACAGUAAAAUACUUAUAUUUAUUUUAUCAAGAAACGUGUGAAGUUCAAGUUACAAGUAAAAGUAAAUGGAUGGACUAUAUUAAAAGUUUAAGAUAAACUUAUUAUUUUUAUUACUCGUAAUUAUUUUUUAAGACUGCAAAUACUUUAUUAUUAGUUAUGACAAAUAAAUAGAGUGAAUAUUCAGUGAGGAAAAGAAUUUAUUCUAAGACAUAAAUAUGGGUAAAAAUAGGUAAACUUUCAUUUUAAUUAUUUCUUUAAUUUCAUAUAAGUGACACACCUUAAGAAUAUGUAGAUAUGCGAUCUCUUAGCAUAUUUUGUUAUCUCAUUUAUUGAUUGUGAUUUAAUUUACUCAUUCGGUAAGAUUGUAUAAUUAAAAAAAUUGUAAGAGUUUUCACAACUCAAAGAAUAUUCAUAUUUAUGAGGAGUAAAAUAUAACUUAAAAAUCUAAAUUGUAUAUCCAAAUAAAAUUUCAACUUAAUUUAAUUUUAUAUUUUAAUUUUAAAUUAUGAUUUUAUAUUCCAUGUUCAAAUGAUAUCAAGUAAGAAGGAUGGAAAAAGGAGUAUAUAUAUGGAAAAAUGUAAAAGAGAGUAGUUUUAUGCGAAUUAUUAGUUGGAGAACUUUUGCAAAUAACCACUAUAAUAAAUUUAAUUAUGCUUCAUAGUUAUAGUUUUGCAUAUUUACAGGUUGUAGCUACAGCUUAAGCUGCUCCGUUUGUAUAAUUCGCAGAUUUGUAUAAUUCGUGGGUACAUUUGUAUAAUUCAGUUACUUUUGUAUAAACUCGAAAUAGCAAAUUUAUACAAUUAUAAACAUCUGAAGUAUAAAUAGUUAUACAAAAUUACAUUAUACAAAAGUUAUACAAAUUCCAAAUUAUACAAACGUGUGACUUAUACAAAACUAAAAAGCUGAACCGCGUAACUAUAGCUAAAAGUAGGUCGUGAAUUGUAAUUAUGACAAACUAUAACUAUCUUAACUGAUUAACUAGUAUAUGUUUGCUUAUAUGCGUAAUUUUCCCUUAUUAGUUUCAUUCCUGAAUUAUUGAAAUUAUUAAAUACGCCCUUUAACUUGACUAAUCGAACUUAACUGCGCUCUCAAUCUUGCAACAUAAGUGAUAUACACCCCUAAAUUCUCGCUAAGUUAAGAAGUAUUUUCAACAAUUCUCUUAUCUUUUUAUUAAGAGGAUCAUGAUCCUACAAGAGUUUGAGACACUUGAUAUGUCAUGUGGUAUAUCGAUAAUUUAUCUAAAUUUAAUUAGUCAAAUGAUAUUUUUAAGAUUAUCAAUAAUUUGAAACGAAAUUAAUAAUUUGUAUCAAAUUUUCGAUAUUUCUCCUCUCUUAAAAAAGAAAAGAAAAAAAAGAGAGGGUUGACAAAGUCAUAACAACGACGUGCUUUUUCCUCACGAAACUCCCGCGUUUGGUGCCGCAACUUUUUGCCCCCCUCCCCCUACCAAACCCUUUUUUUUUCCCUUCUCAAGUCCAUUCAUUUCAUGUUUCAUCAAUCAUCAUCAUAAUUUUAUUUCUCCAAAAAAAAUAUUUUUUGUUUACUUAAAUAAAAGAGGAAUAUUGACUAUUGUAUAAACUAUAUAAAGAAACCUUUUUUUUUCUUUUCUUUCUGCUUGUACAAAAGAAACUAUACAAUCUGAAAAUUUGUCAAGUGUGUUCGUCUCAUAUGUUAAUGUGUUUGCUUCUUUUAAUAGAAUAUAAUUAUCAAUUUAAUGCAAGCAAUUUAUUAAGUCUAAAUCCUCAAUAGUAUAUUACUAGCAUUAAUCACCUUAGUACCUUAACAAAGUCUCAUUGACAAAAAUAUUUUCAUGCAAUUGUCUACAACUACUAUUGAGUAGCAAUAUUAUUUGAGUCUAAAGUUUUGAGUUACAAAUUUUAAAACAACGAGUAAUUUUUUUUUUUUUAGGGUUGACUCUUGAUAAAUAUCACAACUAAUAACCUAUAGCCUUUAUUAUAAAAAAUAUUUUUUAAAAAUAGUUGUAACAUUCUUCUUCAUUAUAGAAUUUUUUUCAUACUCAAAGCACAAAAUCGAGACGUGGUUAUGGGAAGAGGAGACCCCAUCCCCUGGUCCCAUUGGUUAGAUAACUUUCUUACGUUGAAGGAAACCAACUCUGUUUAAAGAAACAAUAUAAAAAGUCUCUUCUAUGAACAAAUGACAAUAAUCAUCUCCAAUUCAUUUGGGAGGAAGUUGUCAUAUUUUCUUUCAAUAUCAAUCCUACAAAUCUGUAUAGCUUUUCCUUGUAAUUCGACAAAUUUGGUGUAGCCAUUACCAAGUCCAAGAAAAAUAGCUAUUCGAAAGUGACACAAAAUUGAGCAGAGAGUAGUCAAAAGGUCAGUAGAAUAACAAGAGAAAGAGGACAGCACGAAUAGCAGAAAAACGAGAGAACCCAGUUGGUUGGAAAAGGGUAUCCAUUGAUAUUGUUUUUCAAGAAUAAUUCAAUCUGCAGAUCAACUGUUUGAUUUAUUGCUUCACAGAGAAAUAUGAGCAAUAAAGCACCUGUUAAGUUAGAUGAUGAGCAGUUGGCUGAACUGCGAGAAAUUUUCCGUUCAUUCGACAGAAAUGAUGAUGGGAGUCUGACCCAACUCGAGCUUGGCGCGCUAUUGAGGUCCCUUGGUUUAAAACCAAGUCCUGAUCAGCUCGAAACUUUGAUUCAAAAGGCGGAUAAAAAUGACAAUGGCCUUGUUGAAUUCUCGGAGUUUGUAUCACUCGUUGCACCGGAACUUCUUCCAGCGAAGUCCCCUUACACGGAGGAACAAUUGAAACAGCUAUUUAAGAUGUUUGAUAGGGACGGAAAUGGUUAUAUAACGGCUGCAGAAUUGGCUCAUUCUAUGGCGAAGCUUGGACAUGCUUUGACUGCUGAAGAACUUACUGGGAUGAUCAGAGAAGCUGAUACUGAUGGAGAUGGCAGGAUCAGCUAUCAGGAAUUCACUCAGGCGAUUUCUUCGGCUGCUUUUGAUAACUCUUGGGCUUGAUAUGUGAAUCUCCUUUCGGUAUAUCUUGUCAAUUUCUGUUCAUCUAGUUUAGAUAUAUAUGUUUUGUAUGUUAAUGUACUUUUUGUUGUAUGUUUUUUAGUUAGUUUACUUUCUGAGUUUCUCUGCGAAUGUCAAGGUUAUAGUUAAAUGUGAAUAUUAUUUCAAAGGAUGCUUGCUGUAUAGUUAAUGGAAUUUAAACUGAUAUACUCUCUUCUACCUGACUUUUUCUCCAAUUAAUUUGGCCCUAUAUUAAGUUUUACUGGAUUCUGUCUUCUAUGAUCGAGUAACACAUAAAUUUUACCGGAUGAAUUUGGACUUUGAAUGAACAUGAAAAGGUGAUCAAGUUGGAUCCUGGAUGUUAUUUCUUUUACCUUAACCUUUGAAUUUGUGAAUAGAAAGAGAGAAAUCUUUUUUAAAAAAAUUCUUUCCUUUAACACGAAUCAGUGAAAUCACUGUUCCAGAAAACAAGGGGUCAAGACUAUCUAUCAGUAGUUUUAGUUAUUGACUUAUUUCACACAGUAAUAGUUGAAUUUAUGAUGAACUGCUGAGUUAACAGACGGUUGGCAGCCAAUUUGUAAUGGUUUUCGACGGGAGUUUACUUCACUAAGCAAUUUUGUUACUCUUGCAUUUUCUCUAAGCUCUCUUUGUUGUGAGCAUGGGGUUAACCUUCUUCGUGUUUAGCAUAACCACAAGUUAGAAAAUUCAUACUCUUCUUCCUAAGACCAACAUAACUAAAAUGGGACUAAGACAUAGAUAUAAUGGAAAGGACAUUUUCUGGCAGCAGAAAAGGAAUAUGUAUUGCAACGGUCUGGAUGGUGGCAUAGGUAUAAGCAUUCUUUGAUUUUAACCUAAUCACGAGCCAGGAAAUGUAUACUCUCCUUGUUAAUAUUAAUGUUUCAUUAAAUGUUGUAGCGAGCAAACAGGAGAAUAGAUCGACUUAUGUUCUGAUCAAAGAAUUUCAAUUAUCUACUUGUAGCAGGCCCCUAUUCUUAGCAAAAUAGUUGGAAAUGAGCGUUGGCGCCAAAUGAAGAAGAAGAAGAGGAUUUAAGAUGCAGAGUUGGUGUUGUCGUGUGCUUACAUCUUAAUGUAUUACUUCUAUCUGUGAUGAUGCAGCAUUAUCCUAGUUUAGCAUCCGAUAGAACGUUUCUUGCCAAGAGAGACUUUUUUUGUCAUUCAUUUUCCUUUAUGAUCUAUCGUUGUACUUUCUUUAGAGUAAAUAAUAUAGUUUGGGUGAUAAUUUGCAGUUUACAUGAAGAGUAGUUUUUUCAUACAAGGGUUUCAUUAGACAUAACAACGUUUUCUUCCCAGCAUAACUAAGUUUAAUUAAACAGAAAAUAAUUAAAUCUAGAUAGGAACAAGCAACUGUUUCACUAUUAUUAGAAAGAUACGCAAUAUCCAAGUAGUAUGACACAAUUGUUUUGUAAAAUAAUAAUACAUAAGCAGCAGUCAAUAAGUGCUUAAUUACUGGAAGUGUGCAUCCAAAAGGAUUAACCCUUGUUGUUAUACCGUGAGUUUCAGGCAUCCAAAUACAUAAUAAAGCUUGCUGAAUAAAUGGAUGCUGGAGUAGCUGUUCCGGCGUCCAUCUUCUUAUAUCAAACACUUGCGUAAAAAAUCAUUGACGAUAUCAGAAACAUUACCCUGAAUCAUAGGGUAUUCAUUCAUAAUCUUGUGAUUGUAAAUCUCUAGUGUUGCGAUAAAUCCAAACUUGACUCCCAGUCAUCAUCUCUGCCACGGUGCAGCCAACGACCAUAUAUCAUAAGCUCUGCCAUGAAAAUCACAGGUCAAAUUCUGGAGGCGCGUGAAUUAAACUCCCUUGAUUGCUCAACGUACUUCCAGUAAUAUAUGCCACUCCUUUGGGAACUCUCAACGACAAUCCAAAGUCAGCCAACUUCAACUUGUGCAUCCCACCAGGUUCAGCAUUAUCGAAGACCAAAACAUUAACAGGUUUAAUAUCACAAAUGAAUCCACCCUUUCUUAUGCACAUGUUGAAUACCCUUUAAGAGUUGAUAUGGCAUCUUUCUCUUUCCUCUCUUGUAAUUGUUGAUCAAAUGAGGCCGGCUCUAUGCUUAGAAUGGUAAGCCAUUGGCCUUAGGCCCAAUGCCCAAUUUUAGGAGGCCUCAAUUUUUUACCAAGAAUAAAUUAUGUGUUAAUUUUUUUAAGAAAAAAUAUUUAUUAUUUAUGAUAAAAAGUACUCCAUAUAUAUAUAUUUUAAAUUAUUAUUUUAUUAUUUUUAACCCCGUUCAAAUAAAAGAAAUCAAGAAUAUAUUAUUUUAUUUUCUUAUACUCUCCACUAAUACUCACAUUAUUUUAUUCUUUUUAACUCUUUUUACACUCUCUUCUUUAAAUUUUUGAUAAGUUAGAGUAAUACUCUGUCAAAAAUAUGAAUCAAUAGUCGAAAAAUGUUGAAUAAAGUGAAUUGUAAAUUCUUUUUCCAUUUCUUCUUAGAUUUUCAAGCAUUACAAUAAGCAUAGAAAAUGUGGGAUAUACCAAAUUAUCAACUUCUUGAAUCAAAUUUAUGGUUCUAACUCUUAUAUUUGUUUGAAAUUUGUCAACUUAUUACUUAUAGAAUUAUGUUAACAAUUCAUAUAAUGAUUGCCUGAGUAAAAUGAUGUUUUUCAACGUUGAAUUGAUAAAAAUUUAUCGAAAACUAAUAAUUGAAAAGGAAAUCGAAUAAAUCAUUUAUAAAAAAAAUAUUAAGUAAUACUUUGCAUUUAAAAAUGUAAGAAAAAAUAUUUUUUAAAUAAAUGCAUGUGAAGUUUAUUUCAAUUUUAGGCCUUUAAUUGAGAUUUCGCUUUAGGCCUCGGAUUGUGUUGAGCCGUUCCCUGAUCAAAUCAUAGAGUGAUCCACCAGAUGCAUAUUCAAGAAACAUAUUGUAAGUUGGAAUAUUUCCACUGUCGAUGCUAACGACUGCUCCAAAGAAUUGAACACGUAAGGAGAACCUUUGAGAGUUGUCAAGAUUUGUGGACUGAAUUUGAACGACGAAUAUCAGCACAUUUAAUCGCAGCAACAGAAACACAUAACGAAAAAGGAUAUACAUCUUCACUGCAUAAUAGACUUCGUCGUAAGAGCCAGCACAAGUAAAGCUUCUGAUCCAUAAUAAUACAAUCACUUUCUUCUCACAAAUUUGUUAUUAAAUGAUUGUGAAAAAUAAUAAAAGGAUAGUUGCUUUUUAUAGAAUUUUUUUUUUCAAUUCGAUAUGGAAAGGAGAAAGAUAUUAUUGUUUGGUAACUUUUGCAUUUACAAAACACUAAAUCCAUAUUUGACAGGAAAGGGUAAAUUCCUAAAUCAAAAUUCCGAGGGGCAAGACGGUAUACACUUAUUUGUAUAUAGUUUCAAAAAGGUCUUAAAAAAUAUUCUAAAAAAGUUUUUAAAAAUGAUUCUAAAAAAGUUUCUAAAAAAUAUUCUAAUGAAUAAUCAGCGGAACAUUAUUGAGCUAAGUGCACCAUGUUGAAUGUGGAUCCACCUUAAGGUUCUCUCUAAUAUUAAUAUUUAGAAUGAUAGAAAUUGUAUAAUAAUCGUAUUCUUUUUAGUUAAAUGUUAUUAAAUCAUGUCUUAUAUAGUUAAUUCAUUUUAAAUGGGUUGGAUUUAGUAUACAUUGGAUCCUAAAUAGAUCUAGUAUUGAUUUAAAAUUUUAAAAUAUUUUUCCCUGAAAAUUUAUAGGUACCAGCACGCCGUUAAAUUGAUAUUGAAAAUAGUAUAUAUGGUUAAACUGAUCCAGAAAGUCAAUAUCAUCACAUUUAACAGCAUCAACAGCAUAAGUAGAUAAGAAAGAAGAAGGAUGGAUGUUGACAGCAUAAUAUACUUUUCCGAAAGAUCCAACACCAAGAACGUGAAGCUUCUUCCAUUGUUCCAUAAUAACUAUUAUUCCUAAUACUAAUUUGUAGUAUAAUAAUUUGUGAAUAAUAACACAGGGGAAGCAACUGCUAUUUUUAUAGUAGAUAUCAUCAAUCAUAAGUUUACCGUGUUUGUUUGUUUUGUGGUAACUUUUGUAUUAUUUUCUACUUUUUGUUUUUUGGUAAAUUGUGUUUUUUUGGAUACUUUACUAAAAUGAUGAAUCCUAAAUCGAUGUGGGGAAGGAUUUCUUAUUGUUCUUUUUUGGUAACUUCCCAUUUUCAAAAGACGAAAUCCAUAUUUGACACGGGAAAGGAUAAUUUCCCGCUGUAAUGGAAAACACUACCUACAUAUAUGUAAAUAAUCCAUCAAAAUUUCAAAUUUUGUGAAAUAUUUAUACGUGAUUAUUUAAAAGUAAAAAUAAAAGACAAGUAUUUAUAGGAUAUAAAUAUAAUAUACAUAUAUUAUAUAUUAAUAUUUGACAACCAAUUCAUAAAUUGCUCAUAUUAAAUCACAAGUGUGGAAUAAAAGAAUCAGAUUUAAUUGUUAGUUGACUUUUUAUAUUUAGUUAAGAGAAUGUCCAUAUAAUUAUUAUUUUUUAAUUUUUUAAAAUAAAAAUUCGAUUUCUGAAACCCUUACAUCGAACACUGAACCGAAGAACCGAACUUUUAAAAAAAUAACAUCGACGCCGAUCCGAAUAACCAAAUUAGUUUGGUUCGAUUCGGUUUUCUGGUAUUUAUGCACACCCCGGGCAUCACAGCACAACCCCACUCCCCACUUAACAUUUGAUUCUACUCUUUUCCUUAACAACCUCAUUUUCAAUUCUGUCAAAAAAUUCUUUGCUUUAACACGAAUCAGUGAGAACACCGUGUAUGUAUCAGUAGUUUUAGUUAUUUGGCACAAAAUAGUUGAAUUUAUGAAUGAACUGCUGAGUUAACAGACAGUCGAUAGUCAAAAAAUAGUUGUUACUCUUGUGUUUUCUCUAAGCUCUCUUGGUUCAGCAUAUUUAUACAGGAUUCAUAUAACUAAUCCUAACUAUAAUUGCCUUGAGACGUAGUUAUAAUUGUCGUGUGCUUACUUACAUCUUAAUGUAUGAUGAUGCAACAUUAUCAUAGUUUAGCAUCCAAUAGAACAUUUCUUGCCAAGAGAAAGGCUUUUUGAUCAUUCAUUUUCCUUUAUGAUCAAUCGUGCUACUUUCUUUAGACUAAAUAAUAUUGUUUGGGUGAUAAUUUGCAGUUCUUACAUUAAGACUUAAGAGUAGCUGUCAAUUCAUGAUUAAUUAUAUAUGACAAGGGUUUCAUUAGACGUUUUCUUCCCAGCAUAACUAAGUUUAAUUAAACAGAAAGUAAUUAUUAAAUCUAGAUAGGAACAAGCAACUGUUUAAUUAAACAGAAGUAAUUAUUUAGUCAUCCAAGCAUAUAAUAAGCUUGAUGAAUAAAUGGAUGUUGGAGUAGUUGUUCCGUCGUCCAUCUUCUUAGAGGGUCCUUUAUAAAACACUUGUACAAAAAAUCUCUGGCAUUCCCAGAAACAGAAGUCGGAAUUAUUGGGUCUCCAUACAUAAUAUUCCAUUGCAAAUCAUUAUUGUUGUGAUAAAUCCAAACUUGACACCCAGUCAUCAUCUCUGCCACAGUGCAACCUAGUGACCAUAUAUCAUAGGCUUUGCCAGGAAAACCACUGGUCAAAGAUUCUGGGGGCGCGUAAGCUAGAUCCCCUCGAUUGUUCAUCACAGUUCCAGUCGUAUAUGUCAUUCCUUGAGCAAUUUUCGAUGACAUUCCAAAGUCACUCAACUUCAAGUGCAACCCAAUAUGUUGAGCAUAUUUGAAAAUCAAAACAUUAGUAGGUUUAAUAUCACAAUGAACCCACCCUGUAUUAUGAACGUCUUGAAUACCCUUUAAGAGUUGAUAUGCAAAGUAACUUACUUGCUUUUCAGCCAUACUUAAUAUUCCUCUUUUCGAAUUGACGAUCAAAUCGUGCAGCGAUCCAUCAGAUGCAUAUUCAAGAUACAAAUUGUAAGUUAAAAUAUUAUUGUCGAGGCUUACGUCUGAUCCAAAGAAUUGAACCACGUGGGGUGAACCUUUGAGAGUUGUCAAGACUUGUGCUUCUUGUUGGAGUGAACUCGAACGACUAACAUCAGCACAUUUAAUAGCAACAACAUCAUGAGCACAUGACGAAAAAGGAUCCAUCUUCACUGCAUAAUAAACUUUGCCGAAACAGCCAGCACCAAGAACGUAAAGCUUCUUCCACUGAUUCAUAAUAAUAUUUUCACUUUGUUCUCACUAAUUUGUUAUGGAAUGAUUGUGAAAAAUAUUAAAAGGGUAGUUGCUUUUUUAUAAGAAAAAACUAUCCAAUAUAGUUGAUAUGGAAAAAUUGAAGGGUUAAGCGUGUUACCUUUGGUAACUUUCGGACAAAUUCCAUAUUUGACAUGGAAAGGAUAAAUUCCAUAUUUAAGUGUACCGUGGAUAGGAUAUAAAGUGAAGAAUAAUCAUACUCAUAUUCUUCUAGUUAAAUGUUACUCCCUCUGUGAUUUUUUUAGGUUUUUAUGGUUCUUCAAAAUAAUUGAAUUGUUUAAAGUUUAAUAAUUGAAUUGAAAUGUUUGAAACUUUUUUCAUAUUUGUCCUUUUCUUUAAUGAAGUUUGAUAUUUUCUAGGAGAUAAAUUGCACUACUUACAGAGUUAUAUUUAUGACUUUACAAAAAACAAUGCUGAAAAUUAUGGUUUAAAUAUGUUUUUUGAAUGUUUUUCUUAAUAUGUGUGCAUUGUCUCACAAAUUCAGAUAAUAUUGUCUCCAUCCCUAUUUACUUGUCAAAUUUUGACUUGAUACACUUAAAAUAAUGAUUGAUAUAAUAAAUUUACCAUUAUACCCCUAUUAAUUAAUAUAACUCAAUGUUAAUAAAUUGGGGUUAAUAAAAAAAAAAAAAUUAUUUUUCCUUUAAUUGUCAAAAAAAUUACAAGUAAAUAUGAAAAUUUCAAAAAGUUUCUACAAAAGAUUCUAAUGAAUAAUCACAGCAACAUUUUAAGUGCACCGGUGGUAAACGUUGAUAUGAUAGAAAGUGAAGAAUAAUCAUAUCCUUCUAGUUUUUUUUUUAAUUUUAACAAUCCUUGGGGUCAGGGACUGAGCAACCCCAGACUUUAACAUAAAUAAAAUAAAAGGGGACAUAAGCCUAACCUUCGAUGCUAUGAUGGUUCAUAAGUCGACUAGCCUACUAAGGCCUAUCAAUUUAUUCUCAAUACUAGAAAAUGAAACCUAAUUAUUGUGCACUUAGAAGAGAGGACUCCUCUCAAUACAAAGACAGUAGAAAAGCAUAAAUAAGGGAGACUCUCCCCUGCGAGAAAAGAAAACAGCCUAACCAAAACUAGACCUCUUCAGUUUUCUUCUUCUGAAACUUGUCAUUCUCAUUUUGUCUAGGUUGAAGUAACCUCUAGUGUCAUGAGGGAACUGAUGUCUUAAAUAAUCAAUUCAUUUCAAGCGGGUUAGAUUUAGGAUAGGUUGGAUCCUAAAUAGAUCUAGAUAUUGAUUUUAAUUUUUAAAGUAUUUUCUCCUAAAAAUUUACAAGUACCACAUCAUAAAAUAGAUACUCAUAUUAUUCAAGCUACUAAGUUAAAUUUAAAGAACAUACACGUAAUUAUUCACUUAUAUAUACUCUUAAAGAAAAUGCAACUUGUUUUUAUAAUUAUAAAAAAAAUUAAAGCUCAAACUUUAAGAAGGUUUUUCCUCUAUCCCAAAAUACUUAUCAUGUUUCACUUUUCAAGAAUCAAUCUACUUAAACUUUAACUAAUAUUUUAAGAUGCAUUUUCCACCAUAUAAAUAUGAAAAUAAUUGUAACUUAAUAGUAUUUUUUAUAUAUUUUUUGAAUAUCUGAAUUUAAAUUUCAAAAUAUUGAGUUAACUUAAUUCAAUUUAGCUCAAAAGAUUAAUCAAAUGGACAUUUGAGAAGGAAGAGUGCUUGCCAUCCGAGAAACUCCCUCUUGCCUCCCUCUUUCAUAUCUCUUUUUAUUAUAAACUAAUUUAUGAACACACGUUUUGCAUGUAUAUAUCUUGUAUAAGUGACAAAAAAAUAACUUAGAUACUAUUUGUUAUUGCAUUAGAGGCUACAACAGAGUAGAAACAACACAACAAUCAAGGUUGGUUGAGGCACACACAGGGCAGAAUCUGAAACGAAUGUACAAUAUUGACUGAAAAGUACUAGGUUCAGCCAAAAGAAAACAAAGAGCAAAAAUUUGAAACCAUUCUUUUCCAUGACGGCACUGAUCUAGUUAGCCUUUAUUUGUGCCGGAUAUGCAUCUUCUCCAGACGUCAGGUCCACUAGUGAAAAAGCCAAAAAGCAGCGACAAAGUAGUUAAUGGAUUAGCUUCGUUGAAUCCACUGCAAUAUGUCCGGUCGGAUCACUCCCUCAAAACCAUGUUUCGUGUGAUUCAUGGGUUUGAAACUAGUAGGCAAAACAGUGUUGAACUGCCUGUAUUGGAUAUUUGUUCCAGCUGGGCUUCUUGGUUUCAUCAUCAUGGAAAUGGUUGGGUACGCUUUCUGCCAUGUGUUUCUAGCUGAGGUAAAUAGAUGCCUGCUGCUGGAUUCCUUGUCCUUGCCAGCACCAUAUUUCUGGAAAGCUUCGGGCUUGGGGGAGUGAGAUGAGUUCCUAAGCUGCUUAGUUGCACUGGUAAUUGCAUUGUUAUCUGAGCCUCUAAUAUUAGCAGAUGGUUUCAUUUUGUCAAGCCAUCGAAGGAUCCAAUUACCAAGGUUCCGACCAGCUUCAAUAUCUCUUUCCUGUACCUUGUGAUGAACGGUCAGUGCCAUAUCAAAUGCAGCUCGUGUUCGCCUGGAAAAGAAAGAAAUAUUUGAAAAACAAUAAUACAAGGAUGAAGGAACAAGGCAAUCAAUAUUGAACAGAAAAGAUCAUGAACUAGCAGCAUCCAACAACAGGGAAUAAUCAUCCUUAGGCUAAUACCUUGAAUAUUUUCCAAUCAACAGGUAAAAAAGGUUGAGAGAAUGUGAAACUACUGUGUGUCGAAAGAGGACCAGUAAACAUUAGACAGUAAACACUUCCACAAUCUGAUCUCACUACCGUAACAAGAAAAUUGAGGAAUUACGUACUAAAUAUACCAUGGAUCAUAUAAAGCUCAGCACAGAUUCAUAUUCAUGAUAAACUUGAAUGUGUACCCGCUUCACAUCAAAUACCUAAUCAAAUUUGCCAGAAUUCAUGUCAUGGAUAUACUUCCUUGUAUCAACACACAUAAUAUUUACUUCCGGGACCUAUAUUAUUGAUUGUUGUCAUAAAGAAUAUUCACUCUCAGCUCAUCCUGCCGGCUUCAAUGCUAUAUCCAGCCUCUUCUUCCUCCUCAUAUCAAUAGUUGUUCAGGCGUGAACAAGAGAAAUUACGCUUAUAUAUUACUCAGAAUCAUUGUUUGAACAUUAUACUAUUUCAACAUGGCAUAACAUUAACAAUGUGGUGAAGAUGUGGUUAGUUUGGUCAUAUCAGUUGAGAUAUUUUGACAUCUACUACCAACUCAGGACAGUCAACUAACUCAUAGAUUUUGAUGAAGAGAAUUAUUGAAAGUCUUCUCUUCUAAUUUUAUUAUCCUCAUUUUCCUUAAACAGUAAAAGAAUCCACUCUUUAUCAUUUAUAUAUUUACUUUAAAUUUCAUGCUUAUUGGUGUUCUCAGACAUGCAAUCAGCAUCUCUAUCCAUAUCCUUGCAUCUUGAACAUAAAGGCUUUGGCAAAUCCAACACCUCAAAACACAUAAAUGAUGUAAUGUAUGACCUAACGUGCCUACACAAAUCCAGGAAAUAUAGGCCCAGUUUUGCAUGUUAAACUGAAAAGUGCUCAACUCACCACCUACAUGCAUCAUCAGCUCUAAAAGUAUUUAACAAGCAACUGUUCUUGAGAUAUAAGACGAGCAUAUAUUCCAGUCCCAUUGCUUAUAGAAAAUUUAACGUUCACAAAAUUCAAGGAACAAAAGAAAAGAGAUGUACCUGUAACAAUCUUAUUCCAACAAGAUUGUCAAAUGUCGGGGAGUCCGAGAGAUAAAACUGAGAAAUGGGACAUUAAAUCCACCAUUACCACUUACUAGAAGAGAAUUCAUUUUAAACACAAAAAGAAGUAAUAUCCAAUCUAAGAGAUCUCUGUUCAAUAGUUAGGAACAGAACAAUGGAUCUGAAAAUCCAUAUCAACAAUAUUCAAACAAAUAAGAGCAACAUCAAAUUGUCGAAGCCGGAAUAGCAAACGUUUGCCGUUUUAUUUGAGAGAACAGCAACCAUUGUCACUGAGAAUGACUAAAAACAGAAAGAUACAUGGGAAGGGUAUCAUGUCAAAAAAGGUCAUUUAGGAGAAAGAAGCAUAUAGUACUAUAAUCAAGAACCAUUACGCUGAGCUAAAAUAACAAUAAAAAGUUGAUGAAGAUAUAACUAUAAGAAAAUCACCAAGAUCACAUUUCCAGCUUAGACACCUAUGGGAAGUUCUCCUCUUGACGGACUCCUCCAAGGAAAACUUUUCCAUUUGCAUUAGGAAGAAGUGGAAAAUUUAUCACCGAGUCCUAUAGGAACUAUGCCGAAUACUAGAACAUGAAACUGCAUAUGCAUUCAAACUGGUCCCUGAAAUUGGAUGUCUGCCAAAUACGCUGAUAAUUCAUCCUAAGCUUCUCUCUUUUUUCCAAAUAUCGUCCUAAACUUCUUUUCACCUCCCGUCUAUUAUUUAGUGUCGCACUGUCACACCAUAGAAAGCCGAGAGUAGUAACAUUAGAUGAUCGCUUUUGUCGUUUCAUUUGCUGACACAUUACUCUCUCAAUCAGUUUUAUCCUAAUACCUCCCAAUUAGUUUUACCCUAUUAUUACUCUUCCAAUGUCUCCCACUGUCCCACACUCUCUUUCUCUUGUGGUUCUCCCAUUCCUGAUAGCAAAGAUAUUGCCUCAAAUUCAACUUUGUCUUUUACCCUUGCCUUUUUUCUCGUUCUUAUCCUCUCUCCCGUUGUCUUUCUACCCUCCUCCUAUCUCUCCUUUCUCCUUUCUAUUAGCCUAGUUAUUCAGUCAUUAGAUAAAAUACAGAGACCAUGUAUAUUAAUGUCCCACAGUAACCUCUCUUGAGCCUCUUACUCUCCAUUCUCCUCAUUUACCUAAAAGCAUGAGGACAAUGACAAUGGCAACCGCCGCAAACAGUCAAGUGCUAUUGCUUAUUGUAUGAUUAAUUAUGAAGCUGUUUCUCCAGAUACUAAUUUUUCACUUUCCUCUCUCUCAGACUUGCCCUGAAAUUGAGUGUAUACAUUAUCGAAUCAAUAUCAUAUUGAAUCAAAAUGCUUGUCUCUAUUUCCAGUCAACGGAUUGAUACAUUAUAUAAGCUAAGAAAAACUAAACCUAAUAUUCACAAAAAAAAAGUAUCAUUAGAGAUCAAAAUCAGAUCCAAUUCAAAUAACAAAAUACCUUUGAGCGAAAUCGCGAAGCCUGGGAUACUUUGGACUAAUAAGCUUACGCUGAAUCCUCAAGAACAGCUUGUAAGUUCGCUUCAGACCCAAAAAAUACGCCGUUCCUAAUGUGAUCUCCCAUAGAACCAUUUUCUAUCUAGAACUUUCUUCUUCCUCUAUCAGUCUCUUCUUCAGGAAAGAAGUUUUUCUUUUUUUCUUCUUCAAGUUUUAUGAGAAUAUAUGGCGUUUUCGUUUUCGUUUUCAACAAGGCAAGUUGAAAUCGUCCCUUUCUGGAUAGCCGCCAGAAAGUACCCGCAAUUUCCCCUUCUGUCAGCUUUCUGCCUUGUUUCUCUAAAUUUGGGCCCAUUUUGGGCCACGGUAGACUGGAUUUGACCCAACUAUUAUUUCCGUUCGAGAAAAUUUCGUUGGACGGCCCAUUUAACUUAGAAUAACUUUCAAAAAUGACUAUAGAUUAGACUUGAUUAGAGGUCAAUAGUUAUAGUUUGCUUAAUUAUGAUUCAUAGCUACAUGUUAGAAGGAGAAGAGAAGCAAACAAGAUUGGGAGAGGAAGGAUAGAGGCAAGAGAGAGGAUGAAUACGUGUUGUAUGCAUUGUUUCAAGUUGUAUCGCGAAAACAAUUGAUUUGUAUCAAUGAAUACAAUUGUAUCGAGUUGUAUAAAUAUUGAAAGACAAAUAUAAUUGUAUCAAGUAUAUUUGUCCCUUGUGUGUUCACUUUGUAUCAAGUGUAUAAAUGAAUAUAAUUAUAUCAAGUGUAUUUGUUCCAUGUGUAUUCAGUUUGUAUUGAUGUAUUUGAGUGUAUCUGCAAUUGAUUAUAGAUUUGUAUCAAUAUAAUCAAGUGUAUUUUGUCUUUAUUAUACAUUUAUCAUGUGGUGUAUACUUUUUCAGAAUAUGAUUGAUACAAUAUUGUAUCUAUCCGUUGUUCAAUAUGAGGCAUACUGAGAAUUUGGGUAUAAAAUCAAAGAGGAGAAGAAAAAGAAGAGAGGUUUCCACCAUCUUUCAUGUGCUUUGUAUCAUUUUAUAUGGACAGAUUAGAUUAUUAUUCAUUUUAUGUUGACACAAUAGUAAUUCUUCCAAAUUUAACUGAAUUUUUUCAUUUGUCACCGCUAAUUGAAAGUAAUCUUCGAUCUUCAUAUUGUUCCAAUUCUAAAAGCAAUAUAAGGCAAAGCGUCAGUUUAUAAACACAUACAAAAAGUUGACCACCUUAACAAACUUUUAUUUAAGAAGUGUAAGAAAGCAAAGUUCACUUGCCCAUUUUAAUUCUUUUUAAAUAGCUUUAGCUUCCACUUUAAGCAAGAAAAUGGUCCUUCUCGUUCAAAGCCCGGUCAAUUACUUGAUACUGUAAAAGCAAUUUUAUGAACAAAAUGGUUGAAAAGCAAUUUUAGUACUUUUUCGUUCUUGAAUUUGACAUCAAAAUUGAAUUUUGAUCGUGUUAUUGGAUUCCCAUAACUAAUGGUUAAAAAGUCCAUGCAAUUAAUCUUACAUUUUGACCUGUUAAUAAUUCAAAGGGUAAUAUAAUAAAAUUAUAUUUCUAUUAAUCGUUUUUUAAAAAGUGUGCAAAGUCAAUAUGGACAAAUAUUGUUUAACAGAAGGAGUAUAUGAAAAAAAAUUUAAAAACAUUUUAUAUGACAAAUUGAAACUAUCCGACCCUAAAAUGAAUAUGGCACCUACUAGGUGGGGUAUAAAAACAUCUUUCCGAAAAGUAAUUCCUCUUAUUUCGCCGACUUAUAAGCUAGUAAAGUGCACUACAAAUGCUUGUUAUUUCAAGAGAUUGCAGAUUUUAGAAUAAAUUUUCUUCUUAUGUGAUCUCUCUUCUUAAAGACUUGUAUAGAGAUAUUAAAUUUACGGUAUUGAUAAUUAAAUUAUUAUUAAAUAUAAAAAGAUAUUUUUUUAUAAACUAAAAAGGAAAAAAUAUCAAAUAAAUUAACUUAAAACAACGUAUUAAUUUGUACGAUUUUCAUAAAUAUCGGGGACUAAAGUGUCUUUGCAAUACGGAAGACAUCUUUCCAACUGUGUUGCUAGAGUUACGGGUGUUUAGCGCAAAUUAUUAAUCCCUCCAUCUUAUUUUAUGUGAUAUUUUUUUUGAUUUGACAUGGUGUUUAAGAAAAAAAAUAAAAAACUUUUACAAUUUGUUGUCUAGAAUAUUUUUUAAAUAUUUGUGUGGUUGUAAUUCAUUUAAUUAAGAAUAAAUUAAAAAAAUUAAAAUUAAAUUAUUACUAAUUACAAUAAAAUAAUAUUCUUUUUUUGAAAAGAAAAAGGAAAAAAUGUCAAAUCAAAUGAAAGGAAGAAAGUAUAUUAUUUUGUUUUUGGCACAAGUGUAUUCUCAAAUUUAAUGGCAUUAUUUGCUAAUAAAUCCCCUUACUAAUUAUUACUAAGCGACAAAUUCCAAUAAGAGAAAAGGGUCAAAUAUGUCCCUAAACUAUUCGAAAAGGUCUAGAUAUAUCCCGUUUAAAGUUUGGCUCACUCGUGUCCUCGCCGUUCAACUUUUCGUCUAGAUAUGCCCUUAUGGGCGUUAAAUGCCAAAUGGAAUUGCCACGUCAUUUUUACAUUACCACGUGACAUUUAUAUUAAAGGGAAAAGGGUCAAAUAUGUCCCUAAACUAUUCGAAAAGGUCUAGAUAUACCCCCCUUUUAAAUAAACUACCCGACCCAUUUUCAACAAAAAAAAUUCGAUAAAUCCCGAAAAUGAGUAAUUGACUAAUAAAAAUAGGAAAAAUAUGAAAAAAAUAUAAAAUAUUAACGCCAAAAAUUCACAAAUAAAUAUAGUAACCUUAAAUUCAACAAUUUCAACAAUUUUUUAAAAUUUUUAUUUUUUUCGAUAAAUCACGAAAAUGUGUAAUAGAUUAAUAAAAAAAUAUGAAAAUGACUUUAUGCUGAAUUUUUAGGUUAUAUUUUUCAUAUUUUUUAUUAAUCAAUUACUCAUUUUCGAGAUUUAUNNNNNNNNNNNNNNNNNNNNNNNNNNNNNNNNNNNNNNNNNNNNNNNNNNNNNNNNNNNNNNNNNNNNNNNNNNNNNNNNNNNNNNNNNNNNNNNNNNNNNNNNNNNNNNNNNNNNNNNNNNNNNNNNNNNNNNNNNNNNNNNNNNNNNNNNNNNNNNNNNNNNNNNNNNNNNNNNNNNNNNNNNNNNNNNNNNNNNNNNNNNNNNNNNNNNNNNNNNNNNNNNNNNNNNNNNNNNNNNNNNNNNNNNNNNNNNNNNNNNNNNNNNNNNNNNNNNNNNNNNNNNNNNNNNNNNNNNNNNNNNNNNNNNNNNNNNNNNNNNNNNNNNNNNNNNNNNNNNNNNNNNNNNNNNNNNNNNNNNNNNNNNNNNNNNNNNNNNNNNNNNNNNNNNNNNNNNNNNNNNNNNNNNNNNNNNNNNNNNNNNNNNNNNNNNNNNNNNNNNNNNNNNNNNNNNNNNNNNNNNNNNNNNNNNNNNNNNNNNNNNNNNNNNNNNNNNNNNNNNNNNNNNNNNNNNNNNNNNNNNNNNNNNNNNNNNNNNNNNNNNNNNNNNNNNNNNNNNNNNNNNNNNNNNNNNNNNNNNNNNNNNNNNNNNNNNNNNNNNNNNNNNNNNNNNNNNNNNNNNNNNNNNNNNNNNNNNNNNNNNNNNNNNNNNNNNNNNNNNNNNNNNNNNNNNNNNNNNNNNNNNNNNNNNNNNNNNNNNNNNNNNNNNNNNNNNNNNNNNNNNNNNNNNNNNNNNNNNNNNNNNNNNNNNNNNNNNNNNNNNNNNNNNNNNNNNNNNNNNNNNNNNNNNNNNNNNNNNNNNNNNNNNNNNNNNNNNNNNNNNNNNNNNNNNNNNNNNNNNNNNNNNNNNNNNNNNNNNNNNNNNNNNNNNNNNNNNNNNNNNNNNNNNNNNNNNNNNNNNNNNNNNNNNNNNNNNNNNNNNNNNNNNNNNNNNNNNNNNNNNNNNNNNNNNNNNNNNNNNNNNNNNNNNNNNNNNNNNNNNNNNNNNNNNNNNNNNNNNNNNNNNNNNNNNNNNNNNNNNNNNNNNNNNNNNNNNNNNNNNNNNNNNNNNNNNNNNNNNNNNNNNNNNNNNNNNNNNGGGGGGUAUAUCUAGACCUUUUCGAAUAGUUUAGGGGUAUAUUUGACCCUUUGCCCUUUAAUAUAAAUGUCACGUGGUAAUGUAAAAAUGACGUGCCAAUUCCAUUUGGCAUUUAACGCCCAUAAGGGCAUAUCUAGACGAAAAGUUGGACGGCGAGGACACGAGUGAGCCAAACUUUAAACGAGGAUAUAUCUAGACCUUUUUGAAUAAUUUAGGGGCAUAUUUGACCCUUUUCCCUUUUAAUAAAUAUAAAGUAUUCAAAUGGCAAGAGAUUGAGUUUAAGUGGCUAAGUGGAAUAGGUGGAUAAAUUUAGGAGGUUAUGUGUAGGAUUUUUGGGGGCUAAAGUGUCUUUGUAAUAAGGAAGGUAUCUUUCCACCUCAACGGUUAGAGUUACGGGAGUUUAAUGCAAUUUAUUACUAUAAUUAUUUUAUUUUUGUACUCUCAAAUUUAAUAGCAUUAUUAUUUGCUAAUAAAUCCCCAGCUAGUAAAUAACCUCAACAGCUGCCAAACACUCUCUCCGCUUACUCUUUCUCAAUCGCCGUUUCUCUCUCAUUCUCGAAUCUCCAGAAUCCGGCCAACAUGCAUAGACAAUCACUCGGCUCAUCGGGAUCGAAGUUACACCUCGCACAUGGAGUCGUCGUCGUCGGCGGCAGCAGGGACGAAUCCGCUGUCGUGACGGCGGCAGAAUCUCAGAAGAUAAUGACGAAGGACCAAGCCUCUCCGUCGUCACUCUCUAACAACUACGAUGAAGGAGAAGAACAAGUACGCAAGUCAAUCAAGGCUCUUAACAAGUCAUUGUCUAGAGCUGAGAAGUACAUUCACCUCAUUCCUGUUCUCACAUUUCUCUGCUUCUUCAUCCUCUAUCUCUUCUCUCACAGUCCGUCUGAUAAAGGUACACUACAUUUUAAUCUCGUGAUUCAGAGAAAAAACGAACUCGUUUCCUGAUUUUUCAUGUUUUUGUUGCAGAUUUAGCCCAAUUUCAAGGAUUUGAAGGCUUCGCCAAGCGUAUAGGUAUAUAUAAUGCACAUUCUGUUUCGCCUUUUCGCAAUUGAUUUUUUUCAAUUUAUAUUUCCAGAUUUAGUUCCAUACUUCCAUUAUACUCAAGUAUUCAAUAAAAAAAAAUCUGCUCUCAAUGUGUUUCACAUACUUCUCAGAUGCCUUGUCCGUAUUUUGUUUGCUCUAAUGAGUUCUCUUCUCCUUUUUGCUCUGAGUAUGCAGAAUCAGCUAAUAUUGACGAGUUGCACAGAGUAUUAGAAAUUGAAAAUCCCCCAGUUUUAGCGAUUCGAAGCACAAGGAACUUGCAAGAGAUUAAUAGACAGGAUGCAAAACAUCGGCGCCACCGGAAACUCGCCGAUUUUUAAGCAGCUGUCUGUGCUUCUCACUCUUCUUUAUUCUCCGUAUAUUACUCAACCACCUAUUCAUGGCGAAUUCACCGUCGGCGGAGCCUCUCUCACGUGCGUAACUCGUUUCUUGCCAAUUUUACCGUUUCUUUAUUACCACGCCUGUGUGCAUGUGAAUUUCUUAUACUAGUAAUUUUGGCUGUUUUGAACAGAAUUUAAUUAACCGGUGCAGUACUCUGUAAAUAUUUACUUUUUAUAUGAUGUACCAAAAAACAAAAUAUUCACUUCCAAGUUUUGGAUACGUAAAUGGAAAUUCCUGAGCUGGAGCUGGAAACUAGAAAGGAAAAUAUCAAAAUUUGUGUUUGUAUAGAGUUAUAAGUUAUAACAAAAGAUCAUUUGUACCGACAGUUUUUUUUUCAGUAUUAGCCAUUUAUCGUAUGUUUAAGUUGAUUUAUUUGGUCAAUCAAAACUGUAAAGUAAAAGAUUUGAUCAAUCUUAAGGAAUUUAAACAGAAUCAAUGAUUACUGAUACCGGUUUAUACUACUAGAAAUAUAAUGGAUUAGUAGGGACGAAAAUAACUUUUGAUUAGAAAUUUUGCUCGAAUAGUAAAUAUUUUUAAUUUAUAAUUCUAAAAUUAUGAAUUUAAGUCUGGAAUAGUUAUAGAUAUUGGAUAGGGAAGAGGGCUAAAGGCAAAAGGUGAGGCAGGAGUGAGACUGAUAGUAUGAUAGAAAUAUGAAUGCAGAGUGAUUGUGGAAAACAGCUGGAAAUUUCGGACCGUUACAGAUGCCUCGUGUUUCGUUUGGAAUUUCCAGCUGGGUAAGACUUAUAUAUUCAUAUGCUAAAUGCCCUAUUGCCUUCUCCCCUAAUUAAUUAAUCGAUUCUCUUUUGGUAUUCUUUACUUUCUCACCCACAAGUUCAUCUUCCCUAUGUGCUACUCUGCUUUAUUUUUUAUUCGGUGUUCGAUAUUCAUAAUUAAGUUUAACUAUUUUAAAUUUGAUUGGGUAGGGAUCCGUUCAUUGGGUACACUCUCUAUUAAAGAUUUUUUCAUAUUUAGAGCUCGAACCUAAAACAUCUAUGCUCACUGCACUACAUCCAUUGGUAAUAGCUUAGUAUACUUUUGCUUUUCUUGUGUAUAGAACACUUUUUUUUUUUUUUUAAUCAAGAUAUUUUUAACUUGAAAAUUCGGUAUAAUUUAUUAAUUUGAAUUAAAUUUUAUAUUUAUAUUUAUAUUUAUAUUUUUACUUAAAUAUCUAUAUAUUAUUCAUUUUAAAACUAGUUGUCCUACUCCAAAAUUCAUAAAUUCAAAUUGGUGGAUUCAUAUAUGUUUAUUUUCAAAAUAAUUUUUUUGAUAAAUCUAAACUAAUCUAGCUCUAAAACAAUAUGAAACCGAAAACAAAAAAAGUACACUUAUCCUUUCCCACUAUAAACUUCCAUCCUUUUUUUUGUGGCUAGAUAAACUUUUUUUUUUCUUAUUGUCUGGUAAGUGUAUUGAAGCUCAACUAUUUCGGAUUCGCGUAGAGUAAAGUCCAAGGAAGCCCUUGAUAAACCUUUUCCUCAACGUGUUGGAAGAAUCUUCUUCUGCAAUUCUUCCAUAACAUUUCAUUGUCCAUAUCGUAAUGGGUGGUUGUCCAUUUCCAUUUUUCAAUAUCUGACCGUGUCCUUUGAAUUCGUCUAUGUUUGGUAAAUUUCCCCUAUUUUUUAUUUUACGUUUGCAGACAUAUUAGAUGAUUGAAGAAUCAACCUGUGAUGUUUGGUCUAAGGAAUGACUUUAGUAACUAAAUAUUUUCAUAAAAUUAAAUGCGAUCCUUCAUAUUAUUUUAGUAACAAUAAGCUCUAAAAUUAAAUAUUCUAGAGAUCUAGUUGGAAUUUUGGCGUUCGAUAAUGUAGGUUGCUAGACUCUACUAAGUACUCCAAGUAAAAUUCUAGUAUCGUUAUUAUUCUCUCUAUUUUCAUUUAUGUGAUAUUAUAUUUUUUUAUCUAGUCAUGAAUUAACUUUAAACUUUCUAUUUUAUCUUAAUGAAAUGGUGUUGAGAAUAUCAAUAACUAAUAAAAGUGUGCUCUCUCCAACGGUUUAAGCUUUUAGAUGAGAUGGUCACACACUUCAAUAUGCCCAAAAUCUCACAAAAAAAUUUCCAAAUCAUAAAUUUAAAUGAAUCAUGAUAGAGAGAGUAGUAUUUUUGUUUGACGAAGUUUUUAAUAGUAUAGUGCUAUGUAAAAUAUUAGACACUAACAAAAGGUAGCAUGAGAAAAGUAUAUCACCAAAUAGUCGGUGGGUUACACAAGUAUUCUCUCUUCCUCAUUGUUGGUCCCAUUGAGGUUGCAAAAUUCUAACAAGCCAUUUGGAUAGGACGAAGCAUUUGUGUUAUUGAAUUAUUUAUGUCACUACCAAAACAAACCUAGCUAGCUGUCUUUAAUUCAGUGAUGAUUUUUCUGGAUAAUUCUGAUAUUUUCUUUUUAGGGCCCCUCCAGACAAAAAGGAUAUGGGAGACUGGGGACCCCACUAAUAAACUUUGGUGAUUAUAGUACCUUUUUUCUUAAAGCUGAGUUUUGCUACUUUCCACUUUUCAGCAAUUUGGAUACAGUGAAAAAUGGUCUGAGAAAGUUCCAUUUUCUAAUGUUAGAGAGAUAUGGAAAUGGGGUAGGGUUGGACAAGGCAAACUCCAAAUGGAGCAACGCAAGAAAACUUGAUGGGGCAAAAAAUUUAAUAGGAAGCUAAUGUGAGACGUAUGUAGUUUGGAUGUCCUCACCUUAAUAGUUAACUUUUGAGACGUAAUUCAGUUUUCACGUCAAUUUAAUAGGAAGGCAAUGUGAGACUUAUAUAAUCGUGGACUUUCUCACCUUAAUAGUUAACUUUUGAGACGUAAUUUUGCCUGAAUUGUAUUAAAGACAGUGCAGUUAUAUUGAGGGGUAAUUUGAAGGGAAAAUAGCAUAAAAAGUUGAUCACCUCAUAAUCCCAAUUAUAUAUUUUGGCUCUCCCAACUUUAAUAUAAGAUGUCCAUCGAUAAAAGUAUGCUCUAGAAUUUGUGAUAAAUGUUAAAAUUUGAGUGAGCAUCAAAGUUUGAUUGAAUUUCGUUAUGCCCACCAUUUGAGCCAUGAUAGAAUGUUUGAACAAAUAGGGAAAAGGACACUUAUAAACUGAAGUGAAGCAUGAAAUGGACAACAUUCAAUGUGGAUUUGUAAAGUGAGAUUUGGAAGUUGAUUAGAUUUGUCUCACUGGACUUGUUGAUCUUUUGUUGGACACUCAUAUUUCACUGUAGCAACUUUGAGACAAUUGAAAAAAAUAAAAAUUUGAGACAAUUAUAAGGACCGUAAAUAGUGAAAGAAGAAAGUUAAGCCACCUCAAGUCCCAGAGCAAAUAAAUGUCCAUGCAAGGUUAUCGUAAAUUAGCAUCAUCCUCAAUUACAACAGUCUUGAAGUUCUACGAUUUAGUAAAGUUAAUAUGUAUAAUCAAAGGAGGUAACAUGUUUAUUAAUUUGGAUAAUUGAAAAACACUAUUUGAAUUGAGAGGCUAUUAAUGUAUUGAGCUUAUUAAAUUCACGUGGAUUCAUAAAUUACGAGUGAGGUUGGUCACUGACCCUGCGCCACCAAUACCAGUUGAUAUUAUGACAUAUAUUAUGUGGAAAGUUGAGUGGCAAUGGAUAAGAUUAUAUAAAACUCAAAACUUAAUUUCCAAGGUGCCAAAUGGUAUUGGCUGUAGUUCUAAUAAUUGAAUUAAUGAUGUAGAAUUUCUUUGUAUUAUAUAUAAACUGAACCAACUGCUACGCUAUCCAACUUUUUUUCCCAUCAUCAUCAAUCAUUAAAAAAAAAAUAGCUAGAUAAUCGUGGUAGGUUGGUUAAUUAUGUCCUUGUCCCUAACCAUUUACCUUCUCUUAAUGAGGGGGUUGCAGACUUGCUGCAGUAGGAAUAAUCGAUAAGAGGUCCACUAUUAAUAUUAAGUAAUCAUUCAUCAAUUUUAUGUUGAGGUUUUUUUAAUAUAAAAUCGUCUUUAAUAAAAAUUACUUUACUUUAGAUUUCACGGCACAACAUAAAUUUGAAUUAAUUUGAAGCCAAAGUGGGUGUGGACGUUGAAUUUAAAAGAAUAAAGUAUUAAAAAUAUUUUUGAAAUUAAUGUGAAUUGUUAGUUUCGUCCCCGAAUCAUUGACAACCUUAAAAACACACAUUUAUUUGACUAACUGAACUUAAAUACACCCCUGAUCUACCAAAUGACAAUAGCAAGUGGUCUCAAAAACUUGUAGGAGGAUGAGACUCUUAAUAAAAACUCAAAAGCCAAGAGAAGUGUUGCAAACACCCUAAACUUGGCAAGAAUUUAGGAGUUUAUUUCACUCAUGUAGCAAGAUUAUGGGUGUAUUUAAGUUUAGUUAAUCAAAUAGAGAAAUAUUUUUAAGGUUGUUAAUAGUUAGAGGUGUUUUCGAUAUCCUCCAUUUAAAAAAAGAAUGUGACCCUUCCGGGUGGCCCAAUGGUUUGGGCUUGGGACUUCCAUGUUGGAGGUUUCAAGUUUGAAACCCCUUGCCAGCGAAAGCAAAUGGGUUUGCCUUCUGGGUCGAGCUCGUCGCAUCGGGCUUGCCUAGUGCGGGUUACCUCUCCUAUGUGGUUUGCGAACUAUUACAUAGGAGCAGAGGUUUUACCCUGUGCGCACCCAAAAGAUAGCGACUGAGGAUUUUCCUUGUCAUAAAAAAAAAUAAAAAAUGUGAGAGGGGUCCAUUAUCACGAGUUCAUUUCAAGGACACGACCUAUUAUUAUUUUUUUUGUAUGCAAUUUCUGGCCAUACUGAUUUUUUUGUUAAAGCUAAAAAGGGUUUGCUAUCAGAUAAGCAUCCUAUGAAUGGAGAAACUGUUUCUUUUACUUGUGGAAGGAUUCUUGUGUUUUAAGUCACAAACAUGUCACUUUCGAGCUUUUUUUUUUUGUUCAACUUUUUCUUGUUUAUCUUUAAAUUAUUUUCCAGUAACGAUGGGUGGUGGAAAUAUAAGGAAAAGAUAGAAAAAGAGGAAUUGUUUUGAUUGGUCAACACUCAAUUACCUAUACUUGAAGUAGCACAAUGUAGACCUACAGUUACUAGACUACACUAAAACUCCAAAUACUAGCUAAAAAUUCAAAUAACUAACCAAUUGAAUUAUCACAAUUUCGCUAAUUGAUUUUUUCUUGGGAAAAUUAUAUGAAAUAACAAACUAUUAAUUCAAAUUAAAUGUUAUAACAAUAAUUUAUUUUAAUUGUAAUUCGCAACAAAUAUUCCCUUUUUUUGACAUCUGAUUCGAUAUACAAUUAGUCAUUUUCGGUAUACAAUUAGCCAUUUUAUACAUUUCGGUAUAAACUAUGUUUGUGUUUGUAUUAAAGCGAGAGAAAAGUGUAUAUACAAAUACAAAUACAUAUAUUUUCGUCCUAUACACUUAUAAUUAUACAAAUACAAAUCUUAUUAUACAAAUUACAAUGUAUAAAUGAAUUUAUACAAAACUAAACAAUUUGUAUAAAACUGGAUGUCUGUAGUGAAUUAUACAAAUCAAAAGCUCCAUAGUAAACGCAAAAUUUGUUAUGGAGCGCAAUUAUGCAAACUAUAGCUAUAACAUACAAAUAUGAUUUUUAUGGUUGCUAUAUGUGAAAGUUGCUCUUCUUUCUUUGUCUCAAUUUAUACGAUACAAAUUUAAAUUUAAUUUCAAGAGUAAAAUCUGAAAAUCUUUUAUCAUGAUUUAUUUGUAUGCCUUAACAUUAAACAUUUUAAAUUGUUAAUUCUUAUGAAUUAAUAGUAAUUUUUAUGUAAUUUCUAAAUAUGUAGAUUAUUUUUCAUAAAUUUAAAGAUGGUAUGUCGUAAAAAUACACCGUCAAAACAAAGAAGUUUGACAUUUGGAUUGCUCAACUUAAUUUACUUACACUAGGGGUACCAAGUAUUAAAUGAUACUUUCAAGUUUCAUGUACUUCUUAUCCUCAGUACCUCCAAUAAGUUGACACACCAGGGACGGAACACAUCUAAUUUUCUAAAAUAUCACUCAAUGUGCAUAACUGCAUAUGCUGAGGAUUCUACCAUGAAUUUUUUCAACUGACAAAUCCGUCUGGGCCAAAACUUAGGGGUCGUUUGGUUACUGAUUAGAGAUGAAUUAUUCAUGUAUUAAAAUUAGGCAUAAUACAUAAACAUGACCCUUAACUUAACAUCAGUUGACAAUUAUGACCUUUAACUUUGGAUGUGCACAAGUAGACACUUAAACUUGUAUAAAAUUGAGCAAAUAAACACAUUCGUCCCACAUGACACCCUACUUGGCAAUUUUGUAUCCUACAUGGCAUCCUACGUGUAUUAUGCCAUGUAGGACACUUGUGUCUACUUGUUCAAUUUUAUACAAGUUUAAGUGUCUACUUGUGCACAUCCAAAGUUAAAGGUCAUAAUUGUCAACUGAUGUUAAGUUAAGGGUCAUGUUUAUGUAUUAUGCCUAAUUUUAAUACAUGAAUAAUUCAUCUCUAAUCAGUAACCAAACGACCCCUAAGUUUUGGCCCAGACGGAUUUGUCAGUUGAAAAAAUUCAUGGUAGAAUCCUCAGCAUAUGCAGUUAUGCACAUUGAGUGAUAUUUUAGAAAAUUAGAUGUGUUCCGUCCCUGGUGUGUCAACUUAUUGGAGGUACUGAGGAUAAGAAGUACAUGAAACUUGAAAGUAUCAUUUAAUACUUGGUACCCCUAGUGUAAGUAAAUUAAGUUGAGCAAUCCAAAUGUCAAACUUCUUUGUUUUGACGGUGUAUUUUUACGACAUACCAUCUUUAAAUUUAUGAAAAAUAAUCUACAUAUUUAGAAAUUACAUAAAAAUUACUAUUAAUUCAUAAGAAUUAACAAUUUAAAAUGUUUAAUGUUAAGGCAUACAAAUAAAUCAUGAUAAAAGAUUUUCAGAUUUUACUCUUGAAAUUAAAUUUAAAUUUGUAUCGUAUAAAUUGAGACAAAGAAAGAAGAGCAACUUUCACAUAUAGCAACCAUAAAAAUCAUAUUUGUAUGUUAUAGCUAUAGUUUGCAUAAUUGCGCUCCAUAACAAAUUUUGCGUUUACUAUGGAGCUUUUGAUUUGUAUAAUUCACUACAGACAUCCAGUUUUAUACAAAUUGUUUAGUACUUGUGCACAUUCAAAGCUGGAGGGCAUAGUUGUUCGUUAAAAUCAAGUUAAGGGUUAUGUUUAUGUAUUAUGCCUUAAAAUUAACAUAACUUUAUGCAUUGUUUAGUUACCAAGGUGAGAACAAAAGAUCUCCACAUAAAAUCUAGCCUACAUUGUACAAUGAUUGGUUGGGUUUUUUUCACCAUAAAACAUAACAUCGCUAAUACGUUAUUUGGUUCAUGUUUUUCUCUUCCACAUAACUAAUACAUGUAUAAAUUAUGAGAGAUUAUGUAUCAUUUUAUGCAAGAUAUACAUCAUAUAUUUACUUGCAUAACUCACCAAUUGGCCCCUUAGGACUAACAGCAUCCUUAGAAAUUCGGAGAUAAAGGGUCCAUCCCUCAGCCCUUCUCCACUUAAAUACCCCGCUUAGUUCACAUGAUGAAGAACUCGACUUAAGCCACAAUUCCCUCCACCUUUAUUAGUUGAACUAAGCCCUUAAGGCGUUCUCCCAUGAAUUUAUAUCUUGGAGACCAGAAUCAAAAGGAAGAAGGUAGAAAACCUAAUCAAGUAUAUGCAAGGUUACUAUUUGUGACUUGACUUGUCCCCUUUACUUCCAUAGUGACUAAGAGUUGAGAUCAAGGUUCAACAUAACUACCACCCAAACCAAAGGCUUCUCAAGUGAAGUUCAUGUCAUUCCUAAGUUGUGUAGAACUAAGAGUAUCAAAUAGACGAGAGAAGAAAAUGGUAGUGAUCAAAUCCUUGAGCAACGUUUGCUCAACAAGUGGGCAUGGUGAUUGACAUAGAAUUUCAAAAUAUUUAAUUUGAUAAAAAAUCUAUCUGAAUUCCUGGCAAUUAAAAAAAUAGACAAACUUGAAGCUAUUAUUGAACAAAGAAUUCUUGAUAGUCUGAUGAAAGAUUUAAAAGUAGGCAAAAGCACAUCCUUAACACUGAAUAUUAAACCAGGUUGUAUGUACUCAUGUGAAGAACGUCUUCAGGACUUCGAUCUAAAGGUUUCAAGCAAAACCCGAUUCAGAUGUUUGAAGUGUAGACUGCAACAUAAAUGUUAAAUACCUGGAAUAAUUGGGCCUUCCCCAGCAUAGAUGGAUUGAGGCACUAUAUAAAGUAUAAACACACAUGACCAAAUUUCAUCUGAUUUUCCUAUACUACAAUGUUAAAGAACUACUCCACACACUAAUAAGAAUGUGCCCUGCUUCAAAUUUGGCCAAUACAGAAUACCCUUUAAAUUGAUAAAUACUCUGCAUUCACACCCAAAGAACUGAAAAGAAUGCCAAAAGGGAAUUCUUCAAUGCCAGUAAAAAAGAGGUGCCCAGCAACCGCCUCACUCAAUGUAAAACACAAUUUGCAUGGUUAGGUCACUCACUCUCCAGAAAUAUCCUUCAAUACAAUCUAUGAAAAUUUACUGAAGUCAAGAGGGAUGUCUCAUGCAACUAACAAGAAAGAUGAAGAACCUUUAAGUGCAAAAGGGUAGGAGCACGUGUAUGUUUGUCAAGGCAUAACACAAGACUUAGAAUUUAUCUACAUGGAAAUAUCAUUGAUAUUCAUUUCAAUCAAAUUCGUAGCAGUAAAAAGCACAAAUACAAAAUAAAUCAUCUAAAAAUCUGUGUAUUGGACAUACUGUUUGCCAUUUCUUUAUAAACCAGUGGAUUGCAAAAUGAAAUGUAGCACGAGGUGGAAGUUCUCAAAGAUACUUACAAGGGCUUUCAACUCAAAGGACUAAACCUUGUGCUGGUGCAGGCUUGGCUGGCUGAUGCUCUGUGAACUCGGAAGCUAUCGGAGACUCGGAUAAAUGAACCUGUGCAAAAUCAGUAACCAUUUUCUGUCUUUGCUCAUCCUCUGUCAUUCCGACUUUCUCUUUUGUCAUCUGGCCUACUUCCCCUGCUGCCUUAGCAACUUUACUAAAAGCGCCUGCUACCCAUGUGGUCCCGGUGAGAACAUACCGGUUUUUCAUAAUGGCCGAUCCAGCGGUACUAACUUUCUGCUCAGCUGCAGAAAAUGCUGAUUUAGCUUUAUCAGAAACUUGGAGUUUCUGAUCCACUUCUCGAACUUUGUCAUUAACAAUGGAAGUACCAAUGCUUAUCUUCUCAGUGAGACCAAUUUUUUUGUCGAGAGAGGCCACUUUAGCAGUUGCAGUUGAAGUCAACUGGUGUUUCUCAUCAAAAGACUUUGCUUUGCCCACAGCAUCUUUACCUAAGAUAUAACCUUUUGCGAGCAUGCUGCUAACAACGUCUUCUGCUUUCUGAAAAGCAGAUUCUGAAUUACCAGCACUUUUCUUUGCCGUUGGCUGCAGAUCACAAAUAUCAUAUAAGAAAAGUGUUUUUUCAUGUUCAAAGGACAUGUAUGUAUUUUUUUUUUCUUUUUACCACUGAUGCUGUAAAAGCAGUAGGAGGAAGCUGGUAAACUGGAUCCAAAGUCACCGUAACAGACAUAUCAACUAUUGUUGCACCCUGUAAUAAAUACAAUCAUAUUAUUGAGAACUCUUUCAUGUUUCUAUAUUUGUAAACACUCAAGGCCUACCACAAUCUACACAUUGAAAGGGAAAAGUGAUACAGCCAUUAGGAAUAAAAUGAGAAAAACUACAAAUUUAUUUCACAAGUCUUGCCACUGACUCACUUACUUGCUUCCAGUAGAGUUCACUAUGUAUCAGAAUUUUUGAGCCCUUACAAAAGAAUUUGCAGGAAAAGAUUUGAAAGAAAAUGAAAUCAACCAGUCUGAAGAAUACACUUGUUUGCAUAAGAAUUACAUCAUAACUGUUGAGACCCUUUUUAAGAUGACUUGUCAACAUAUAAACGUCAAAUGUUACAGGGUAGAGGUCAGCAUUGGGGAUACAUGACACUGUUCUGAAAUACAGUAUAGUGCUUUUGGCAUAAUUAAUACCUCACUUGCAUCAUAAUAAUAUAAAAUCAUAACUUAAAAGAGUUUAUAUCAUCAUUUUAGGGAAACUGCUAAAGCUCACACCCAAAUCUGUGGCCUAAUGGUCAAGGAAGCUGGAAAAAAAAUUGCGAGAGACUGUUCGAUUCCCAGCAAGGGAAAAAAAGUUAACUGAUUUCUUUCAAUCUUCCUAAGGCAUGGUAGGCAAAGAUACCUGGUACCUGCCAUGGCAGGAGGAUGCAUGAUGUAUCUAGCUGAAUAGUUUAGUUUACCCCGGAUGACCCAGAAACCAGUUUUAUAAAAAAAAUUAAAAAAGACAGAAGCCAAAGGUUGCAUUGAUGCAUUGAAUACCCUCUGAUCCUAGAAAGCCCAACAAUACCUAGGAAGAGAAGGAGAACAACAUGAAUGGCCUUUCAUUUAAGCCUUCACACCCACAUGGACUCUAUGCUGACCUGAAGUUAAACCUCCAGCUCAGUGUUCAGUCUAUUUAUCAAGUGCUAGCUCGUGUUAGCAUCCCAUUGAACACUCUAACAUCUUCCCUAGAACGAAAAAGGAUAGAGAAACUACAAGUACCUAAACAGAGUUUUGGAAGUAUCUGACAAUUUUAUACAGAUCACCAGACUCAACAGUCUUUGAUGGCAAGAUAGCCUAACAUUAAACGAAUAAACGUAUGAGCAAUUGACAUUAGGAGAAGAGUUAAGUUUGUGUAUAUAGAACCUAAAAUGAGAUUCUUCCAUAAUCAACAUAAAUCAAGAAUUACUACAAUUGAACACCAUCUUUGAUCUUCCUUAUAAAACUACUGUUUCAGCCUUGCACCUCCCUCCUUAUACCUAACCUAUUUAAGCAGAACUAUACACAAUUCCAACAGCCCUAAAAAGUUUAUUUUCCCCUUUCUCCAAUAACAUUUAUAUGAUAAGUUAUCUUGGGAACACUAAUAUGGUGAGUUAGCCUAACUCACUCCUAGGGUUUUUCAAAGGGGAACCUGCAGUAAAACAUCUGCCUUAUCAAUCAAACUCUCAUGCUUAGAUAAGCAUUUAAGUGAGAACCUGGACUUCUGCAGAUGAAAACCGAAAGCAACAUCCCCAAUGCCAGGCUAUGUAGUAGCACUAAUUUCAAGAAUUUAAAUUAGCUUAAAAAUUUUAAAUGACAAAAAUAAAAAACUAACUAAAUGAAUACAUACAAUGGCCUCGGAUAAAAAGUUUUUUGUCUAGCAAUUGCAUCGUCAAUUAGCUUAAGUCAUUACUUCAUAUCUUUAUACAGUCAAACAUAAAAUAAAAAUUAUAUGUACAUAUAUAUAUACACAGGUUCGUUACUAGAAAAUGAUUGUUCUAGCAGUGAAAAAUACCAUCUCAGUCUCAUGCUCAAAUGACAAAUAGUAAUUCGCCAGGACAUUAAUGAAGAAAAUAAUCAUGAAUACCACUUGAUAUAAAUACACAUAGGAGGAAGCAUUGUUGCAAUGGUUAAUCUUCAGAUUUCAGAUUAUCAGCUUGAUGUCCCAGCCACAGAUAAGCAUAAUGCAAAGAGUAAGAGAAACAAAUUGUAAAAUUUGACUGAUAGGGAGAACGAUGAUAACCGAAAGAAGAACUGCAGUGUCAGCUCCCUGAGAAUCAUUGAACGUAACAUAUGCUAUUUGACUUCGUUCAGUAUCACUACAAAGUAAGAAAAAAAAAAUUAAAAAUUGGUGUUAAUGACAAACUAAACGAAUUCGCUUAAAGAAAAUGGUAAACAACCUCAAGAGCUAACCUUUGCAUCUCAACAUAUUCAAUAUCACCAGAGAAAGAAAAGAAUUCCUUGAUAUCACGCUCUGAUGCCCCUAAGGAGACAUUGCUAACUUUAACAGUUUUCACCUGCUCAGGAAAGCACACUGUCAAGAGCUUGGGAAGACAGUCUCAUUUUCAACAUUUCAGUUAUAUACGUAAUUCACAAUAAGACAUAUUUGGACAACAUUUAUCAUCUUUUAAAACAAAAUAGAAAAUGCAAUAUGUUAAGCCAAACGAUCAUGCAAAGAUGUGUAAUAGUAAUUUAAAAUGAAAAUUUGGGACUAUUAGGAAUAAGAUAUGAUAAGAGAGGUACUUGACUUGAAACUUAUCAGCAAAUGUUUGAGCAUUAGGUUGAUUGAUUCUGAUUCAAUGAGAAAUUAUACCCGUUUAUUUUGAUCCCUUUCCGUAAACUAAUUAACAUACUCGCCCAACUCCACUGCUCCUAUUCAACAUGUAUUUUUCCAUUUUUGCUGCUUGACAUUGUUAGAAAUGUAAUUUAGUGAUAGUUUAUACUCUUUCUUAUCUUCGUUUUAAAUUAGAUGACCCCGACUUAUUUGGGACCAAAGCCUAGUAGUUAUUGUAAUACUCUUUCACACCAAGAGCAAAGUAAUGUUUUCUGAACGAGUCAUUUUACAAGAACAUCUUGAAAUUGCAAUUAAGAUUAUCAAAUCAACUUUUAUUUGAUAUCUCAUGUAUGAAAAUGCCCUUGGCCUUAAAGAUGUUGUGCAUCCACCGGUGACUUAACAUUGCAUAUGAAGAUGUUGGUCUAACUUCUUUGGUCUCCUUAAGCACAAAAUUUCACAUAAUUGACGGCACAAUUUAGGAAACUAGCAUGGAAAGUAGCAAAGCUAGUUUUAUACUUCGCUAACUCAAAUUUGAGGAUGACCAAUCUUAUCCCCUCCAGCCUCUCCUUCCUAACACACAUAUGUAUAUAGGAAUAUGAUAUUCCUCUUAUAAAAAUAAAAAAGUGAUCUGGCCUAGAAAUAGUAGUCAAAUUAUCACAGUUUGAGCCAGAAAAUGCAUGUCACUAUAUUCAUAACCCAAACAAUUUGUUUUUGUAAAAGUUCAAAUUGUUUAUGCAAGAAUUGUUGAUUUGCAUGAUCUACAAAAUAGAGGAUUCAUCAAAUUACAAUUAUUUUUAAGCUGGCUGGACAUCAGAUUUUUUUUAUAUACAAGUACAUGAAUGAUACAGCCCCAAAUAGAGUUGACUAAAUGUAGAGGAUCUAGUCGACUCCAACUAGUUUGAGAUUCAUACUUAGUCAACUCAAUAUGAUUACCAUAUUAAUCAAAUGCAGAAUAUGUCGCAUAUAAGCCAGAACUCCGAUAGUACACAAUAUUUGUUCAGAUGAAUAAGGCAUAAGACUAACAUUUUCCAGGAUUUUUUUUUUAACUAGUCAACUUUUCAAUACUUUUAUACCUAUCUCAGCAAAUUUGCCAACAAUGUCGCUUAUACUCCUUUUGAUCGCUUCAACUUUGAAGAUUUUAAGUGAAUCAAUAACAAUAUACGACCAACAUAAAUAUUUCAAAGAUACCUAAAAAGCUAUAUUAGCUUAUAAUUGAAGUAAUUAGAUACUUCAAAACAUCUCAAUAUCAGAGCUCAAAGAUAGUCGUAGCUGAACUUCAACAAACGCAAUCAACAGAAACAACAUCCAAAACUAUCAAAUCAGAUGAAUAUACGGCAGAAAAUUCAGUUAAAAACUUAAAAAACAAAAUCGCAACUGUAAUGCUCAAAAUGUAGCUUAUAAUUGAAGUAAUUAGACACUUUAAAACAUUUCAAUCUCAGAGCUCGAAGAUUUAAGAAGACAGAAAAAAUCGUAGCUGAACUUCAACAAAGGCAAUCAAUAGAAGCAACAUUCAAAGCUAUCAAAUCAGAUGAAUACAGCAGAAAAUUCCGUUCAAAACUUGAAAAACAAAAUCGCAACUGGAAUACUCAAAAUGUAGCUUCUACUCACCGACAUCGCAACAGUUCGAUGAGAGAUCGGAAAAAAUCAGAUGUUGAAGAGAAUGAAAUGCAAUGGAGUAGAGAGAGAAGAGAGGAUUUAUGAGGAUUUUGGAGAGGAAGAAUUGAGGGUUGACGGAGUUUAGAGAAUGGAGUGCCGGCGAGAAUUAACGGCGUUGACGGUGGUGACGGGUGAACUUGCUCAACAUUGACGCCACGACUGAAUGCUCUUACGUAACUAAUAAAGUAGAAGAUAAUUUGACUAGUCUCUUUAUUUAAUACUACUUCUCUUAUACAUCACAUUAAUACUUUUUCCCAUAUUUAUAAUUUAGAAAUAAAAAACGAAUUAUAUUUUAAUUUCUUAAAUAAAAACUAUUUUAAACUAUCUAUUUUUAACAAAAACAACUAAAAUAGGAACAACCCUCCAUCCCAAUUUUUUGUAGGGUUAACACUAUGAGAUUCAAUCAAGUUUUUUCGUAAUUUAAAAUAUUUAUAAAAGUAAGUUAAAUUAAUAAUAAAAAAACUUAAAACAAAUUUCUUUUAAAACAAUUCAAGGGUAAUAGGACUCCGUGAAAUAUAAAUGUAUAGUGAAGAAUUUGAUAAUAGAUUGAGGGGCAUGACUAUUUUCUCUUAUUUCCACAUUUUGACACUUAAAUUUUUUUUAAAAUGAAUACAUGUACAAAGUACAAGCUGUUUUUUUAAUAUUGAUAAAAUUCCCAUCUAAGGAAAAUUAAAAUUAAAAACAAGAGAUUUAUAUAUUUUUUGUUGGAGCAAAAUGUAUUUAAUAUUAAAAUGAUAAUAUUAAUUUGCAUGAGUGAGUGAUAAAAGUGGACACCAUUUCUUGGUGUAAGUUAUGUAAUUAAGCCAUAUUUUAUCACUUAUUACUGCACUAAAGCUUAAAUAUUGUAAUCACUACAUGAUCUACCUCAUAUCCACUACAACCUCAUUUACUAGAUGAAUUAAAUACUACAUUUAUGUAAAUGUUUUCUUUCAAGUUUCUAGCCAAAAUCAUCUUUAAAUUAUAUCUCAAUCUUAAACUACAUCUUUAAAAUAUUUUUUUGACAGAGAACAUCCUUUAAAUAUUUAAAAAUUAACAAUUUUAAUCCUUUGGUUGAAAUUUAUCAGAAAACUAUCAGAUCCCAUAAAAAUCAAGUUAUCGAUUCAUAUUUAUUAUUCUAAGAUACACCAAAAAUAUUAUCAUGAACUUUUUCGAUAAUUGAGUUUAGCAUUUUGCAAAAUCUUUUAAUUUGACAAUUUUUUUAAUUUAUUUUUCAUGUGAUUUAAUAUUUUAAAAAAUUAUCAAUUGAAAUAUGUUUCUUCUCAAUUGAAUCUGCUAGAAGCGGUGUUUGUUGGAGACUUCCAAUAAUGGAGAAUGAAACUCAAAUGCGAGACACAAUCAAAAUUUGAUCACCUCAAUAUCAGAUUGCCUAAAAAAACUAUUGAUCUAACUACAAUUUGACUUUGAAAAAGGUGAAGAUAAUUAAGCUCUAACUUUAUUGUUUUUAAUGAAAAAAGGAGCAGAUUAUGUAUUCUCAUACCUUCCUAACAUUUUUUGUUUCAGAAAGUAUUGGUGUCCAAAAAUUAUAAUAUUCUUUUUUUUCAUAAGUUUUUUAUAACAAGUAAUGAAAUUAUGCCGAAUUUUUUUGUUGAUAGUCACGUGAACUGCACAUGUUUUUGUAGGAUCCCUUAGUUUUUAGACAAUAUAUCUAGCAGAAGGAUGAAAACUGUUAACUUUCAAAUACUUGGAGAAUGUUUUCUGUCAAAAAAUAUAUUUUAAGGAUGUAAUUUAAGUUUAAGGUAUAACUUAAAUAUGUUUUUGGCCAAAAAACUCUUUUCUUCUUGUGCUGUGAAGAGGAGAAAAAGAUGACAAGUUGACAAAUAUUAUAUUGCAUUUGCAUUUUGAGGGUACUAGAGUAGUGAAAGAGAGCUAAGACACAUAAAAAUAUUUAAGUCUUCAAUUUAUUUACUAUUCAAAAGAUAGUAAUUAUAUGUUGAAAAAAUAUAUUUUUUUAGUAGAGUUUUGAAUUUUUCAACUAAUCGAGAAUUAUUUGAGUGAUACGACACUAUUGAAUAUACCACUGAAUCUGUAUAGAUCAAUAUAUAUUCAUACUCUCACAUGUCUCAUAGCAAAAUAUACUUUCCAUCCCAAGUUGAGAGUGAGCUUUCUAGGAGCAUCAUGAACCUUUUUGAAUUUUUAAUAAGGAAAAACUACAGAAUAUAGCAAACAUUAAUAUAUAUUUAAGGUAAAUGGCUAUAGUUCAUUCUUUUUAUGUUUUAUGGAUAUAAUUAAAUGUUAAAUAGCAAAGUUAAUAUUACACUCAUAAUCUAUUUUUUUUUUAUUUAAAAAAAGAUUAUAUAUGGAUAUAAAUAUUCAUUAAAUAGCAAAGAUAAUUUUACAUGCCUAAUUAAUACCAGUCAAACAUGCUUUACGAUGCUUUACUCCCAUGUUUACCCUCUUUGCUAUUUCUCUUUCACUAUCACCAAUUUUUUCUCCAAUUUUCUUCCAAUUCACAAUUCUUUACUUGAUUUUCAUGAGCAAUUUUCGUGACAUAUCUUCAAAUAUCCUCUAUUUGCAUUUUUUUCUCGUUUAUAUGAAAUUUGUAUUUGUAUACAUCUUGUUGAAAGGUUGAUGAGUUCAUUAGUUGUAUUCAUAUGUAUUACAUGAAGAACGUGAGCAAAAAGAGUUUGAGGAUUGUCUGAUUUUCAUUUUUUAAUAUAGUGAAAUACUUAUAUAUUUGGAUACUUGUAUUGUAUUAUAUCCACUUGUCAUUUUUUUUNNNNNNNNNNNNNNNNNNNNNNNNNNNNNNNNNNNNNNNNNNNNNNNNNNNNNNNNNNNNNNNNNNNNNNNNNNNNNNNNNNNNNNNNNNNNNNNNNNNNNNNNNNNNNNNNNNNNNNNNNNNNNNNNNNNNNNNNNNNNNNNNNNNNNNNNNNNNNNNNNNNNNNNNNNNNNNNNNNNNNNNNNNNNNNNNNNNNNNNNNNNNNNNNNNNNNNNNNNNNNNNNNNNNNNNNNNNNNNNNNNNNNNNNNNNNAUCCAAGCGGAUAGGGACGUAAUCAUUAGUUUUUAAUUUAAUUAUGGAAAGUUGAGAGUUUUAAAAACGUAAUUAGGGGGCAUUCAGUCACUAUAACAAGAGAUUACCUUAUUUAGUGCAUUGUAAUUAUAAUUGUAUCAUUGUAUAAAUAAAAAAAAUUGAAAAAAAAAUACAAAUAUACAGCAAGAUUAAGACAUAAAAUGUAGUCAUUUUUUUAUAAAUAGCAUACUUAUAGCUAUUGAAUUUCAAUAACCCUACAACUAUAGUCAUUUUUGUAAGUUGCUCUUUUAAUAAUUCCAAUUCCAAACAAAAAAAAGAGGUUCUAUUGUAGCAGCAGUAGCUUCCUAUUUUGUCUUUCGGAUAGACUCUUUAAGUAUUGUUCAUUGUCCUAGGAUAAUGUAGCUUCGUAUGAUGUUCUCUAUAUUCAACAAUAUUUGUGUACUCCAUUAUUUUAACUAGAGUCAAUUUGAAGCUAGCCUUUUAAAGUAAAGAUAAACGGUUCUUAAAUAGAGUUUUUUUUAUCUAUGCCUUAAUGAAUAAAGUUAUUUAUGUCAAUGGAAGGUAACAAAAUAACAAUAAUAUUAGUGUAGUUUUACAAAGUAUUUUUUACGAAUUUUAUUCUGAUAAAUGAUUCGUAAUUUAAAGAACAACAUUUUAAAGUAGUACAUAAAAAGAAAUAAUGAAAGUAUAAGAAAAAAACAGAUAUAAUAAUAAAACAACAGAUUGUAACAAAAUAAUACAAUAAUCGAAGCUCGAAAUAAUAGAAAUCAAAGGACAAAAAACUACAAAAAUAAUACUACCAAACUAUUAGUAAGGAUGAAUAUCAAGACAAUACACUUCUACCUAAUAACCUUCUUCGUUUCCUCCACAACCUCUCAUCUAAAUUCUAAUUAAACGAAAAAUAUGUCGUAUCAUAUUUAAUCAUCUCUUUCUAAUACUUCUUCAGUUUAUCUUUACCCCUCUUAAAAUCAUCUAUAAUCAAUCUCUUAUUUUCUCUUUAAAUAUUCUCAUUUCAAAUUUAUAAUUUUCUAAUACCUACACAAUCGCAACAUUUCAUUUCCACGGUGAGAUAAUUCUAAAAAUUCGGUUGCGUCGUGCGUCACCGCUUAUUUGAUUACAUUAGAAGAUGUGUUGCAUGUCUUGUAAACAAUUCAAAGAUAAACAGCUAAAUAUACAAAGUACAAACGCAUAAAGCUGCCGACAAUAUCCAGCUGUCACAUUAUAUAACCACCAGUCUCGCCGGCCAUUACAUGGCGCUGAUUUAUUACUAUUCUAUUCAAAAAUAUAUCCCGCUAAACCUAAUCCCCCACCACCCAACACAUAUCAAAUCAUUGUGUCCCUUUCUCACUAUUUAUUUUCUCCAAAUAUAAAAUGUUCUUUUAACUUAACAAGAUAUUUAAAUAAAAAAAAUAUUUUUGAAAUUUAUGUUCUAAAUUAUUUUAUUAAGGGAUAAAAAGGAUAUUUUUAAUAGUAGUAAUGUAUCACUCCCUCCGUCUCAAUUUAUAUGGUUUACUUUCAUUUUUAGUCGGUCUAAAAAAAUAACAUAUUUUUAUAUUUAAUAACAAUUUGACUUUAAAAAGUCUAGGAUAUCCAUAAUGAAAUGAUUUACAAAAACACAAAUAUAUAUUUUAGACCAUAAGUUUAAAAAGUUUUUUAUUUCUAAGUCAAACUAAAUUAUAUAAAUUGAGAUGAACGGAGUAAUAUUUUUAUUAAAAAAACGCUAAAUAAAAAGGUUGACACGGAAAAGGUGAAGUAAUAAAUAAAAGAACAAUUUUUUUUUGUUCCUGCAAUUCCUCCCUCAAUUCACGCCAAAUUUUCUCUUUCUUCCCUUACCCCAAUAGUUCCAUCUCUUUGCUCUCUUUCCAAAUCCCCCAAAAUUCUAGGGUUUUCAUUUUUCUGUUGAAUUUUGGAUCGGUGCUUUGUUUUAGUUUUUGGGUAGAGGUUCCGAUUCCUGGAUUUUGUGGCAGAAUUUUGGGGGAUUCCAAUUGUAUAUUAGGAGAAAGAGAUGAGUUUUCAAGAUCUUGAAGCGGGUCGACCAUUGGGGCCCCGUAGAGGGUAUAUGAAUGGUAAGCAAGACCCAACUCAAGCUGUGGCUUCUGGAAUUUUCCAGAUUAACACUGCUGUGUCGACGUUUCAAAGGCUGGUCAAUACACUUGGAACACCCAAAGAUACACCCGAGCUGCGUGAGAAGUUGUAAGCUCUCGAUAUUUUGUCCUGAUUGUGAUAAAUUGAAGUUGUAAGCUGAAUGUUUGGGUGAAAUUCUGCAAUUUUUAAUACAGUUGGAAUUGCAUGCAUUACUUGUUGAAUUUGAUGUUUUGUGGACUUACUGUAUUGUCAAUUGAUGGAUUAAUUUUGAGACAAGUUUAUAGCUUUUGUGGUGAUUGAGGUCGUACAGUAGCAAUUAUCAUUUACUGAGAUAGACCGGGUCAACUGAUACUGUUUUGUGGUAUUUUUGUUAAGUGAUUUCAUCUUUAACUGUUAAUUCGUGAAUUUAUAACUCAUCCUGUAUUAGUUUUAGCGUACACACACACAGUCAGAAAGAGCAUUAUACUUGAAACUUGUGUUCUGCAUUUGAGGAAACUUUUGAGGAAGGCCUCAGCACAUGGCACACGCUAAAAAUGAUGUCUAAAUUAUCACUGAACAUGUGCAAAUGAGUUCUUCUGAUCACUUUGAGAGUUUUGAUCUAGAGAAAAUCAGUAAGCUUGCAAAAUAUUUUAAAUCAAAAUUUUAGAAACCAUUUUCAGUUUUUUUGUCCACCUAUACUUCUUCUGGAUGACUGGGAGGAAUAUAUUGUUCAGUAUAUGGUUCUGAUGAAUGAUAAAACAUGUUUUUAGGCUAACUAUAUACAUGUUGUGGGAAGAAGUUUGAACUUCAUGUUCAUGUGCCUUUUAGAGGGUUAAAUAAGGCUUUGCUCUACUACUUACUCAAACUGGAAUUGGUUUACAGAAAGUAUUAACUAGUGUCACUUUUCAAAAGAAAAGGGAUUUACUAGUUGUAUGUUUGCGCUUAGACUUUUAUAUGGACAAAUUCUUUUAAAAUGUUGCCACCCUACUAUGUUCGAUAUUGAAACUUCUCUUUGUGUGUGCAUACGGUGUUUAUUGUGCAAUACUCUAAAAAAGAAAAACUUUUAAAACUUGUGGUCCAAAAUGAAUAAUAGAAAUUUGUGUGACUGUGAAUCAUUUCAUUAAGGGUAAAAUAGAUAUUUUAUAGUUAAAUUGUUACUUAAUAUAGAAAUGUGUCAUUCUUUUUGGGACUGACUAAAAAGGAAAGUAAGUCACAUAAAUUGGGAUAGAGGGAGUAUUCAAGUUGUUGAGUGAGUUCUUACCGGAAGAGGUUUGCCUAUCAUUGCCUCUAGAAUGGGACUGUGGUUGAAUGUUGCGUCACUCAUUCCCAUGUGAAAAGUGAAUAUAAUAUGAUUCACCGCAAAAAAGUGGGGUGAGGACUGUGGAGAAAUGUGAUAUGUGGCAAUCAUGAAUCGGACAUGUUUUAACCAUCACUUGGACAGAUUCUAUAGUCAAUACUACCUUUCCGGUUCAAUUUCUGUUUUCCAGCUUGGUGCUGCAAUAAUGAGAUUCUGUUGUAUUUCAGUUAGCCAAAAUGUGGCUUUGCUGUUAUCUUGUACUAAUUAAUACUACCGAUUAACACUGACUUAAAAAGCUUAGUUUCACUAGGGAAUUAUGCUAACUUUCUCAAGUACAGGCACAAGACGAGGGUACAUAUUGGGCAGUUAGUGAAAGAUACAUCUGCAAAACUUAAGCAAGCCAGCGAAACAGAUCAUCGUGUUGAAGUCAGUGUAAGUAUUAAGAGCUCACCUAUUUCCUCUUCCCCUUUGUGUUUGCCUUAGUCAGUAUGGAUUUCCAUGACAUAUAUUUGCAGAAUACACAUGCUCUUUGUCUUCUGUCCUCACUAUAUAUAUGAGGUUCUCAUCAUUUUGUUUGAUUAGGCUUAUGUGUACUUCUUGUUCUUCACUCUUUACUUUUCUCUAUGACUAUUAACUAUAAACUCCUGCUUUCUUCUAUCAGGCUAGCAAGAAAAUUACAGAUGCUAAACUUGCUAAAGAUUUUCAAGCAGUCUUGAAGGAGUUUCAAAAGGCUCAAAGGCUUGCAGCUGAGAGAGAGACAGCGUAUACACCUUUUGUUCCCCAAGCAGUUCUUCCUUCUAGGUAAGUUUUUCCUGAUGGUACUUCAUUAUAUGAAAUUUCUGUCAGCUUCAUAAAAGUAUGAAAUGUUUAUUAGAAACCUGAGUUUAUCAACACAUGAAAUACAUAUAAGCAACGUCUCCUAGGGCUUUUGUGUGGUGGUAACAGUGCAACAUGGGAUGUGUGGUCAAGCGCAUGUUGGGGGUCCUAGUAUUUAAGUGGAGAACAGUAGCGGGGUGGGCACAUUAUUCAAGUAGUUUCGGACCUUGCGCUGCAGGUUCUCUUUCAUGGUUAUAAAGAAAAUAAUACGUAUAAGCAACUUCUGCCUCAGACUGCAGGAAUGAUAAAUUCACUGUCUCUUUAGUUAACAAUCUCAAAUGAAAUGUUUUGCCAUCAAUUCUCAUUUUUGGUUUGGUCAUCUUUUGGUAAACAGUUAUACAGCCAGUGAGAUAGAUGUUUCUUCGGAAAAGAGUCCAGAACAACGGGCUCUCCUUGUGGAAUCAAGAAGGUCAGUUAGCUGAUCAUGUUCUUGUGAAGAUUUAUUUAAAUUUUGUGCUUAUCUGUGAGAUUGUUAAUAUCAUAAAUUAUCAAAUUCAGCUAUGCAUUAAGUUUAUAGACACCAUGAUGAUUCGAUUAAUUCGUUCGCUCUCUCCUUGUUGGCUUGUUCAAAGUGUGUGCUUCUUCAAAGUCACACUGCUCAACCUGUGCGAAAGUGAUAACCAUUUAUGGGUGAUGAUUUUUGUCUAUAAACAGAAUAUAGUGCUGGUGUGGACGUUGGUUUAAUGAAGCUACUUAUCUACGCUUCCUUUAGUUGGUCAUAUGCUGAAGUCAUAUUUGUUGAGUUCAGAUGCAUUAUAUGGAGCUAUUUUUGUGAUGUUGUGAUCUAAGAGUAGUGGUGUUGCCUCAUCAGAAGAUAUAUCCUCUUUUCUUCCUAUAUUUAGUAACUUCUAUUCCGUUGUGCUGCAGACAAGAGGUUUUACUUUUGGACAAUGAGAUUGCCUUUAAUGAAGCCAUCAUCGAAGAAAGAGAGCAGGGAAUACAAGAAAUACAGCAACAAAUUGGUGAAGUGAAUGAAAUUUUCAAGGACCUUGCUGUGCUUGUUCACGAGCAAGGAGCUAUGAUUGGUAGGUCACUCUUGUUUUAGUAUUCCAAAUUUCCAUAUGAAUGUCCUUUGAUAUUUACAAUUCUGUUUUCUGCAGAUAAUAUUGGUUCUAACGUUGAGAAUGCACAUGCUGCGACUGCACAGGGGAGAUCGCAACUUGCUAAAGCUGCAAAGACCCAAAGAUCAAAUUCAUCUCUGGUACUUUCUCACAUUUGACCAUUCAUCUUACUGAUCAUAGAACUCUAUGACUGGUAUGCUUAAGCAUUCUGUGUGUGUAGUGGCAGGCCUUUUAUUAGUUCUUUUGAACUUGAAUGAUCGCUUAUAAGCCUAUUGGCUGAAGUCAAAGCUUUAAUAGGUUUAUGAUUCUGAUACUGACCAGCUACCACCUAUUGUAUUUUUAUGGUAUACUUCACAUUAUUGCUUUAUUGGAAAUAAGAAAAGGUGAAAAAACAGUAGGACCAUUUAGAAGUUGGUGAGUAGUGCUUUACGUUUGGGAAUAUUUUAAUUUAUACCUUCUACAUUUUAUAGUAUGUUUGGUAGAGUUGAUAGAAGGUCUAAAUUUGAUUAACAUGCCGUCAUGACAAGUGUUCUCACUGGGCAUAUUCACUGUGAUGGAAUGAUAAGAGAGGGAAGUCAUGAAAGGACAGGCAGUGGUAGGUUUCAUCCUUUUGGGAUACUUUAGAUGGUUCCUUUUUUAGAUCAUACAGUCCAUUCUAUUUUCACAUGGCCCUUAUAUCAAAUCCGGUUGAGAAACCAGUCAUGUUGCUUAUUUUCUUUCCCUUCGGAGUACCACUUCUAUUUUUUAUACUUUACAUUCCUUACACUGAACAAUAUAUGCUCUGUAAAUGAUUUCCCUAACUUAUAAUAUUUUCUGCAGACUUGCUUAUCCCUGGUGAUUUUCGGAAUCAUGCUCCUCAUUGUGAUCAUAGUACUUGCAGCCUGAGCUGAAGAUUACUGGGAUAUAGAAAAGGGUCCCGAACUCUGUUCAGAUACAGAAGUGAGUGCUUUGAUUCGAAAAAAAGUGACUCUUGUGAUUCGAGUUCUUUCAAUAGGCACCCUGGAGUGUGGCUCGGUUGUCCCAAUCCUUGGUUCUUCUAGUCAUAGUAGACAAGUCGUGUAGUUAGGGAGGUGGGAUAGCAAAGAUUCCUGUUCAACUUGUAAACCUGGUGCUGUGUUUGCAAGAUGUAUUGCUGCCAUGUAAUGGUGGGUCUGUCAAUAACAAUUUAUUUUUGUUUGAGGAGCAAUCUCUUAUAUUUUCCCUUUGGAUACUCUUGAACCAGAUGACAUUCAAUUCUUUAUUGAUGCUUGUGUGUGUGAAGUUAUCACUAAUGGGAUAUGUUGAUUUGUUUAUCUUGUUUGGUGGAUAAUCUUGCAUGAGAAGUUUCCUGCUUCUAUUUCUUGUAUGGCAACCUGAUGUGUCCGUAAUUAUAAGAUAAAACUUAUGCAUCCAAGGGUUGUGGCCCCCUUGUGGCCUAGUGACCAAUGAAGUGAGAAGAAUCAUUGAGGUCUUAGGUUAACGUCCCAAUUUAUGGCGAGGCAGGUGAAGUUUGUUUCGGACUAUGAUCUACUUUUGCUGAAGUUUGGAGGAGAUAAUAUUUUCCAUUUUAUGGACACUGAAGGUCGCUAUUGAUAAGUUUUCUUCAGUCUCAAAUCUGUAAUUCUGUAUAUAUUUUUUUUCAUUAUAAGUGGCAGUGAAAUCACAUUAAUAGGGUCAUUUGUGGCGGUGAAAAUUGAAAUAGUAUAUGUAUCCAUCAUUGGAUGUGUUCGUGUUGUAACUAUGAAAGCUGUACGUAUAAAUAUAGUUGAUCUGAGAAAUUAGCAAAUGGCAAAAGCAGCAAUACACUUAAAUACAUAGCAGAAACAAACAGCGUGUGUCGGGUUGUUUUCCUUCAUCGUGGCAGCGCAGAAACCAGUCAGGUGGAGCAAAUUCAAUUCUAGAGAAAUAACCGGUGUCCCAGUGGCUCGCAGUAAGUCAUGUUUCAGUCAUUCAGUGAACUCUUCAACAUUUGGGUCUACCAAAUUUUCAUGUUUGCUAAAGUAGGAUUAUGUAACAUAUAAUUUAUCAAGAUUAGGUGCAUGGUCCUGAAGAAGACGGGGAAAAUGUAAAUAUGCAUUGAUAAAAUUGAGUAAAGUUUUAUUGGCAACACCAAUCUGUUAACAGUUUUCUGUAAAUUUGAAUAUUACUAACUCCCAAACUGCAUAUAACGAUGAAUAAUUGCACAUCUUGAGUAUAAUGUUAAGACAUUUAAUUGUUCUAAACAUAGUCUAUUACCUCAUAUUUAUGCAAGUUGUUUAUAUAACUGAGAAGAUGGAUCAUCAGGUAUUCAUUUCCAUGUGAGGAGGCAGCAGUGAUAUCUAUGAAGCAAAGAUAAUGGGGAUAUUAUUUUUAUAGAGCUUUAUAUGUACCACAUCGGAAUAAGAUAAUGUGUAGACAGCCGAAAGCUGCUACAUAAACAAAUUUUAAUUCAGUUGUUAAAGCAUACCUUUCUCGGCCUUUUGGCUAAGAUCAAGUGUAGUAUCUGUUCUUAUCAGUUUAAUAUCUGAUAUGUGGGCCAUUGGUUCACACGAUAUUAACUCAAUUUUUUAAGGGGAAGAGUCCAUUAAGGUAGCUUGCUGCCUGGGCUCUUGUGCGUUGCCCAUGCGUUGCACUACUGCACGGGCCUGGCGCACCCCACCAAAUGUAGUACAAUUUUUUUUCAUUUUAAUGUAGUUCUCGUUUGUCUUGUUUUUUCAUAAAUUUUAUCAAUGUCACAAUUUGUCUCUAUUUGAAAUUUUGAAUACUUAGUUAGCAAAUUUCUUGUGUGAAUAGUUUGUUGAAAUCACGGUCAAACUGAUUUUAUGCCUCAUGCAACCAGGAUAGUUCACAAACCAUAGCAGGAACAGAUAUCAAUCUUAGUUUCCAACAAGCUAUCACUUUCUUAUUGUGUGCAUACAGUAGUUUUAUAGAUACAGCCAAAUCUAUGAACAUGAAUCACCAAUAAGUUGAAACAGAUCCGAUAUACUUUGAGAAACGAGGUGAAAACCAAACGCAAUCUAUAAACAUUAACCAGCAAUAAGCUGAAACAGAUCCGAUAUGCUUGAGAAAUGAGAUGAAAACAAAAUGCACAUGUCAAACAGAUCACUGAAUCAAAUAGCAAUCUUUUGGAGCAUGAACACAGCUAGAAACAAACACUACGUUAGGUUCAAAUCUACAAAUCCUGGAAACAGCAACAACAUGAUUCUGCUGAAACAAACCCCCAUCCCACACACAAACACACUUUGUUAUGAUCCUAUUGCAAGGUAUGGGACUUAAAUAACCUUGGGUUCUCCCAUCUUAAUUACUGGCUUUUAGGGGGUGGUUCUCUUAAGGUUGUAUCACACGCAAAAAGAUGGGAUUUAAAGGAACAGCUAACCAGAGUUAUCAUAUUUCUUCUUUUCUGCUUUUGAGAAGUGGUAAAAACACCACUGGUUAUUGAGACAAAUAGAAAAUGCAGGCAAAAUGGCAGACAACAUAGAUUUUGGUUCUUGCUAUGACAUAGCAUUUGCGAGUUUCCAACCUUCUCAACACCAUUCCAGAUAUUAAUUAAUUAACCUUGUAUACAAAUAUUUCUAACUUAAACAAUACACAUAUUAUGAUUGUGUCAGAUAAUUGGAUUCAAAUCAGUGACCAACAGCAAAAACAAAACUCUUCACAUAAUAAGUGAUUUGAGAAAUUAGUAAUGGCAAAGCAUUUCAAAAAAUAGAUAAGCAACGGCCUAUACUGAUAAAGGUUACCUAACAUUAAGUGAGGUUCUCUUGCCAAUGGUUAAUCCAAAAAGGGGAAAGAAAAAACUUGCUUCGUUUAUCAAUUACUCAUGAUUGUUUUAAGACAUUACUUGCUGCAUUAUCAGAGUACUUAAUUGAGGCAACAAUGAUGAGAAGAGCUGAUACAACAGCUGAGAUGAAUGUAAUAGCAGAUACAACUUCAGUGUGUUCUCGAUUUCCACAUGGUACUUCCCACACAAGCUGAGUAUCAAUUGAUUCAGCAUUCUGUUUGUCUAGCAGAAACAAACAGCCCGUGUCAUCUUCUUUUCUUUCAACGUUGCAGCGCAGAAACAAGUCAGGUGAAGCAAAUUCAACUCUUGAGAAUCCAUGUCCUAGUGGCUGCCAGUAAGAAGCCGGGAUGUUACAAUAAAGUCGAGAAGCUUAACAGAUGUACAUGGCUUCCUAGAUAAUACAUCUUUUUUUGUACAAGUAUCAACUUAAACUUCUGGGGAGUAAAAAUGACUGACUACAUUGGAUGCCUGAAACGUAUUUUAGAGACUCCGACAUAAUUUUGGGAAUCGUUUAUGUGAUGUACCUGAUAGCGUGCAUGUAGAGGAAGUUCCAUGUGUAUUUCCAGUUCAUCCUUCUGUUGUGAUGUUAAAUUGGUACCCACUUCCAGAUGAACCUCAACAAGCGAGCGGUUUGACAGAAAAGAAGGCAACUCUAAAUUUGUAUCUCCAAAAACGGCAGCAUCCCUGAAAACUACAACAAAACGUGGACAACAAUAAGCCUCAAAAUGACGGGUAGCAGUGUUAGAAACCCAUAAAAUCUAAUACUUAGUAAUUUACCACCACGCUGCACAAGGUGUUGUAGCUCAAAAGGAUCUGCAAAGACUCCAGAAGGCAGUCUUUCAACAAUUAUAACCUCACAAGAUUUUGGAGGCCUGGAAAUGGACUCUGAUGACAACUUCAAUCUGAGAGUUGAUGACAGACGUCGAUGGGAGCCUUCACCAAUCAGCUUUCCAUGUAAAGCAGACAGUUUUAGUGAAAAUUCGACGUUGCCUUGCAGUGAUACACAUGCACCGUACAGUAUGUCAUGUGCAAUGAAAUCUUCAAACUUUGAAUCUACCAAAUUUUCAUGUUUGUUAAAGUAGGAUUUUGCCACAUAAUUAUCAACAUAAGGUGCAUGCACCUGAAGAAGAUUGAGAAAAAAGAUAAUCUGGUGAAUAAUGGAAAGAAGUUAAUGAUUGCAUGAUUAAAUUGAGCCUAAGUUUUCUUGGAAGUACCAAUCCAUUCACAGUUUUCUGUAAAUUCGAAUAUUACUAACACUCGAACUGCAUGUAUCGAGAAAUAAUUGCACAUCUUGAGAUUUUUUAGCAGCUUGAUUACUUACUUCACUUAAUACUGCAGUAUUGAGACAUGAGCUGAUCUUAGCAAUUUGUAUCACUGCGAUGACCAUUGCCAAACAUCGUGCCAGAAGAUCAUGAAGUUCCAUUGUAAAUCUGAGAAGGUCAUGGACAUUAGGCACCGACCACAUUACACAUGAGAGAUAUUACAUAUUUUAUACAUUUACACUUCUGACAACAAACAAUUCUACCACAACUCAUCAGAUAUUACCACAUUAGUUGAUUUACUAUUGAAAGAACUUCCUCAUCUAUACAUAACUUCCCAUAACUAAUAUAGAUUGAAACUUAUGAGAUGCAACUCAAAAUAUCAUUGUGGCAGGACAGAGGCAAAUAUAUAAUUGGUUCCACUCUAAAAUACAGCUGAAGUUAUGCUAAGAAGAUGUUUCAUGAUAAAAGGGGAGAUUAAUUAGAUUAUUCAAGUUAGUUACAUAAUCAAGAUGGUUAAUUAAGAUAAUGAAGAUGUGCGCGUACAUAUAAACCUCUUAUCCGCAUUCUCUUUUUCUCUCUCUCCUUUUCUUCAUAAUUGUGGUGUCCGCACCAGGUUACGCAGCUCGACUAAUUUCAUGAGGUACUUGCUUACUCCCACAAGCACAGGCACCUGACACCUCUGCUUGAAUUUGAACUUGAGAUAAUCUCAUGGUUCUCAAUCCACUUUAUUACUUUCAUGCUCGUCCGUUUUGGUAGUAACUUCUUACGAAUGGCUUAUAUUAUACCCAAUUACAGUAACAACAUUCAUUUCAGUUCGAUAUUUAGUUCUUUGAUAACAAGAUUGAAUCGAUUGUGUUUCCUAUUAUUGAUUUCAAUCCCCAUCUCAACAUGAAACCCAACUCUUUCUUCAAUCUUGGCUCCAAUAUAAAAGAAAAAGUUUACCAUGAUUUCAGUUUAACAGAAUAUUAUUUUCCAAAGAACAUCAACAUAUUAAUCACGCCAAUAAAGUAGCUGAUAAAUAGAGAAAAUAAAGGCAAUAUCAUCACAGUCUACAUGAAAUAGUUUUCCUUCAGAAAAAAAAAAGUAGCAGCAGCAUUACAAUAAGAUAAAGAUUCAAUUUUUAGGGUGAAAUCCAUCAUUUCACUUCAAUUUCCAGAUGUUAACAGAAGCUUCAUCAAUCAAAUUGAAGCGAAAAAUUACCAGAAAUGGAGGAGAUUCAGAUAACAAUGAGGUUAACAAUUUGAAAGGGAAAAAAACCCAGAAAAAUUCAAAGCUGAAUUUGAUGAAAACCUUACCAGAGAUAGCCUCUUACUGGGAAAUUCCAAUUACUAAUUUCGUUUCAAUUCAGCUGAUCUGCGUUUUGUAGGGAGAAAGAAGGAGGAUAACAAAUCAGAUCCUAUACCAGUUCUUUUUUUUUCUUUCCUAUUUUACUUUUCUUACUUAUUUUUCUUUUGGAUUUUAAAUACAUCAAUAAAAUUAAAAGAAUUAAAAAGAAUAUUAUUUUUAUGAAGUUUUAUAAAUAAAAGGGAAAAGGGUCUGAUAUACCCCUCAACUUUGUCAUUUGGAACUGAUAUGCCCCUCGUUAUGAUAGUGACUCAUAUAUAUUCUUACCGUUAUACAAACGGCUCACAUAUACUCCUACCAUUACAAAAUGAGCUCACAUAUAUCCUUAAUUUAACGGAAGUGAAAAAAAUAGCUUUAAAUUUAUGUUUUUGACUUUAAAUAUAUGAUCCUUCUAGCGAAUUUCAAGGUAUAUUUUAAUCUUUUUUAUACAUAAAUUAUUUUUUGACGUCUUUGAUUAUCAUUUUUUGAGUUUCUUAUUCUUAUUUUAUUUUUUUUCUUUCAUUCGUUAGUGUAAAGAGAAAUUUUUAAAACUAAUUUUUUUGUGGCUAUAUUAUAAUUUUAAAAUAUUUUUUCCGACUAUAUUGUUAUUUAGUUUUUCUAUUGAAAAAAAUUGGGUCAUCUAUAAUAAAGUUUACAAGAAAAUUAGUGAAACAUAAAUAAAUUUGACCAUCAAAAUAAUAACUUUAAAUUAGUCGUUGAAACAAAAAAAGUAAAAAAAAAAUAUGUGUGAGGAGUAGGGGUGUUCACGGUUUGGAUAAAAACCGAUCCAAACCAAAAAACCAAACCAAACCGAUAAAAUAAAACCGAUUUUAUUUGGGUUUGGUUUGGUUUGGUUUUAGAUUUUUGAGAACCGAUAGUAUUUGGUUUGGUUAUGGUUUUAUUUGAAAAAACCCGAAGAAAUAACCGAACCGAACCGAUGAAUUAUAUACAUAUAUUUUAUUAAUAUACAUACUUAAUAUAUUAUUUUUAUAAACAAUUUUAAAGAUCUUAUACAUAUUUUCAUUAAAAUUUCUUUAUAAUUUACUUAUUGAAAGCAAAAAUGCCCAAGAUGAAACAUUUAUCUUAUUGAUUUCAUGUAUAUGAGUGUCUAUGUCAAUUCUUUGUGGGACUGAAAAUGUUAUUGUCUCUUCCUUCUAGGCCAAUAUAGUGAAUUUUAAAGCUUUAUUGAUAGUAAAUUUAGUGAUUGAAAGUUUACUAAUUUAAGUCAUUCUAACUAUUUUUCGUUUUGAAUGGAUUGUUGUCACUUUUUUCACAUUUUAAAUGAAUUGUUUCUUUUAUUUUUGUGUAUGGUUAAUAACCGAAUAACCGAACCAAACCAAGCCGAAACCGAUAAUCACCAAACCGAUAAAUGUAUAUUAUAUUUGGUUUGGUUUGGUUUUGAUAAUUUUAAAACCGAUUAAGUUGGUUUGGUUUUGGUUUUGACCAAUAACCGAUCCAAACCAACCCCGUGAACACCCCUAGUGAGGAGGAUUAAAUAUACCCAUAUGGGAUUGUAUUUUUUUUUUUUUUAAAAUAAUUAAAAUUAAUUUUUUUACUUCCGUUAGAGAAAAAAGGUAUAUGUGAGCCAUUUGUAUAGUAAUAGGGGCAUAUAUGAACCACUUUCAUAAUAAGGGGUAUAUCAACUCUAAUUGAUAAAGUUGAGGGGUAUAUCAAACCCUUAAUAUUAUAUAAGUUCACGGAAAACGUAUCCAAUAUUUAUGGGAUUCAAUUUUAAACGAACCUAAAGUAUAUGGAUUGCCAAGUUCCAUUUCAUUUUAUUCCUAGACAUAACAUUUCAACGCAACUUCACAACCAGUUAACUUAUAAAUUAUGUUAGAGUUAUUUAAAUUUGAUAUUAAGUCUCUAUAUUUUACAAAAGAACAUCAAAUUUUAUACUUCAUGAGCAUUGAGACGUAAUAAUGAAAUGUUAGUUUCUAUUAGGUAGAUUUUAAUUAUGUACAUUUAAUAAAAGUCUGAGUCUUUACUAUUCAAAUUUCAAUUAUUAAACAUAUUUUUAAGUAUGAAUUUUAGUAAUUCAAAUCCUAAUCAUUUGAAGUAUAUAUAUUUUUUAUUUUAUUUACAAUUACUUAAUGAAUUUGAGUAAACAUAUACGUGACUAAGAUCUGCAAUAAAAUCGUUAAGAUGAUACAUAUUUAAAGAUUUUAGUAAAAACGCUAUUUCAUUAUCAGCUUCUUGCACCAUUAAAUAUUUGACGGAAACUAAAAAUGUUAACUUGUGACAGAUUUAGAUACUUAAAGGACUAUUUUGAAUGCUAUCUCAAACAUAGGGGAAUAGUUUUGUCAUUUCUCGAAAAUUUAAUUUUAUAGCGUAUAUAUAGGGUUUCGGGACUCACAAAUCUAAAUUUUCAGGCGUAAGGAGGGAAAAUGAGCACCGGAAGUUCGCUGACGUCGUCACCGGCGAGGUCAUCGAGUUCGACGAUGGUGAUGAUCGGAGGAAAUGUAGGGCCGUCAUCGUCUACAGCUGUUGAUGACUUCAAUUUUCCAGCUGAUCUCAUCUCCGUUCAAGACCGCAAAGACGAGGCUCUUCAAGGUCAGUACAAUUUUUCGCAUCUACUUUUUCUUUUUGCUUAACGUUUUUAGUUUAUUAGUUAUAAUUAUAUUUGUUUUCAUGUUAUAAUCUGAUUGCUUGUAAAAAGAUGGAGUAACUUAUUUUGCAAAACAGCUGAUUAACCUCAAGCUAGGCAUGAACUCAUGAUUUGUACUGUAUGUUGACUAUAUGACUAAUUGAUUAUCUUAAGCUAUUGAAUAUUUACUCUAGUCUACAAAUUUUAUUGCAAGAACUUGCUUGUGUAUUGAAACUUAGCAAAGUUAUGCUGGUAGACAAAGCUCUAGUUUUGGGAGUGAUAAUAUGUUUUAUUAGUUGGUGGGAAAUGUUGAUAAAGCUCAAUUUUUAGGUGUUAUACUUCUGUGUAUCAUCAGCAUGUCUAUAUUGUUCUAUAUCUAGGUUCCAGUGAAAACAAAUAAGUUUCAUUGGUUUUAAGUGUUUUUUCUUACCUUUUUUAUGUGACUAGUUGGUUAAACCUUAUAGAUCAUUUUUUUUCUUUAGUAGUAAAAUGAAUACUUAUUAUUAUGAUUCAGUGGAUAGAUUUUAUUAUGCAAUAAUGAAGUUGUAUUCCCUUAUCAAAAGUUUUUGUAAGGAAACUGUGUCGUAUAUCUAGAUCGAUCUUCUUUUUAUAUAGGUAGUUUUAAUAAAACAGAUGAUGAGUGCUGUCACUUUGUUUGUAAGAAGUAAAAAGCAAGUUGGAGGGCCAUUUUUAUAACUUUUGUUGCUCGACAGUUUUAAAUUGUUGGUUUAGAUAUACACUGAUUAAUAAGUUUGAGUAAAUUCACUUGUUAAUAAUGAAAGUGAGUGAUUUUACUCUGUCUGAAACAAGUCUAAUUUUGAAUGGCUUCUUGUGAACUUAGAGGAGCACCAUAUUUCUGAUCAAAUGACAAAGUAGCAACAAUGUUUGCAUAGAUUAUCAGGCAUCACACCCUGGGCUAUAUGGGUGGAAAUAUUAGGGAUAAUGUUUCAAAUAUUCAAAUAGGUGAAGUGUGAUGGUGAUUUGGUUUAUUCUUGUAGAAAUCAGGCAAUGAGAAUGAUGAUUGUGAUUGUGAUUGUGAGUGUGUUAAUCAUUAGAAGUAUGAAUGUCAGACUGGUUAUCAAAGGAUUAAGUUAGUCUUAUAUUUUAUGUGAGGAAAAUACUGGCACCUUUUUUGUUGUAAUUGGUGGAAAAUGCUGAAAGCUCCUUUAAAUUUAGUGACAUUGACUCCAUUUUUGCUGGACAGAAGACAGACUGACAGAUAUAUUAAGUGACUACGUCUCUUAAUUUCCCUUCAAAAUUAUGGAUGUUGGUAAAGCCAUGAUGUUUUAAAAUUUUCUGAAGGAAUAACUUAGAAGCCAAUCGUCUACUGGUUUAAUUUCCAUUUUCCCAAGAUGGAAGUAAUAGAAAUUGAGGACCACCUAACUGAAGACACCCUGGCAACUCUCAAGUAACGCAUGUGCCAACAUCAUGUUAAGAAAUAUUCAGUGUGUUUCCACUCACCCAAAAAAGACUUAAAAAGUAAAAGCUGAAACAACGUGUUUUAUUAGGAUCCUUUUAAGCAUUGUGCAAUGAUUGAUGAACCACACAUCCGAGAGAUCAUUGUUUAUCCUAUCAGAUUUUUGUCUCUUAUAAUCAUUGAUAGAUGUUUUCUAGCAAAGAAAUAUUUGUAAAUCAUCCUACUUUUUCGUUAAUUCUUUUUCAACUUUUGACGAGAUGGUUAACGUCAUGCAUGUAGAACAGCCUCUGCAUCCUAAAGUUCGUUUGAUAAACAAUGAAGUAGACAAUAAGUGCUCCUUAUUCGUAUGUGAAAGUAAAUGUAGGUGAAAAACUAAUGCGAGCUGUAUUUCAGAAGGUUAUAUCUAUUAUAUUGAGGAUUUUUCUUUUUUGUGGUAAAUCUAUUAUAUCAAGGAUUUAGCAUGGUGUUGUAUAAGGUAGCAAGAUACUUAAAUUUGUGCCUUAUACUAGGUUUCUCAUUUUUAUAUUCUCAAUGCUACACUGUCUUAUCUGUCAGUACUUCAUGAAGAAUACUCAUAUUUGUUAGUUGAUAACUUUUAGUUGUUGGUUCAGGUAUAUCAGAUAACUUGUGAUGCGAGAACCUAAUAUUUUUUGGAUUAUUGUUAAGUAAACUGUUAUCAGUUCCGUGAGCUUAUUUUCUCAAUUUUAUCUUCUCGUGCCACUUACUUCUUGAGAAAGGACCUAAAUGGUUCAUGUGACUCUUUCUAUCUGAUGGAAAAAAGCUUUUGCCUUUGUUUUAGGCCAUCAGUACAUGGCUCUUAUAAGUGGGAGCUUUAGGGUAGCAGAGCAGUGUCACCACAGAUUAAGCCAAUUGAAGUUCUUAGCUCUAUAAAACUUGAUGACAUAAUUGUAAAUUAGGCAAACACCAACCAAAACAGCAUGAAUGGUUCUUUACCUCCCCUUUAGAAUAAAAUAACAUCGCUUGCCAUUAGUCAAAAAAGUUAGGCCUCUGAAUUUGGCUUCUUGGGUUGUUCAAAACCAUUUUUUUUAUCAAGCUGAGAAAGGCAAUGCUAUAGUCUUUGCCAUAUUUUCUCCCGUCUUAUCAGUGUAAAGUUGGAACUACACUAGGUCAAUGAUGUAGCGGACUCUUUAUCCGAGAAAUUUUCAGUUGUUAGCUGAUGAUAUAGUUUGUUUCAGUUUUGAUUCAGAGAAUUAAUGUUUUCUUUGUUCUGUUUGCAGUUCUCAAAUCUGAUCUGAUGGCUUCACUGAACAAAGAGGUUAAAUCCCUAGACGAAGAUAGCUGGAUGUUUGAUGGACCUAGGUCUCGUAUUCACAAGAUUUCUAGGCCAGGUAGCUCGCGAAGAGCAAAAAUGAUGGUAUCGUUCAUUUAGGGAACUUGAUGAUCAUCUUCUUUUCAUGUAGGCGACAUGAUGAUAGUGUACCUGAUGCAUUACUACUGUGCAUUUACAGGUCGUCUUCAUAAACAUGUAGAAGUUGGGAAGCAGAAUUCUAAGUUGGCGGCCACAUUAAAAUGAGGAAUUAUUUCUUGUGCAGAAUUGCAAUAUAAUGUAGUCUUUUAUGUUAAUGAUUUGUACUACUAUUUUUUUACUGUAAUUUUUGCUGCAAUGAUUUUCCAGAAGCUUGAAUUCCAUGUGAGAUUUGGUUAGAUUUAGGAAAUUACCCUUUCCGUUUCAGAUAUAAAUGUGUAUUGUAUUGCUAAUGUUACUACUUAGCCAGACGAGCGAUAGCAACUCUUAUUUACUAAUAGAUCGAUCGAUCUAUCCACGCUAGUAUAGAGAAAAAGAAUAUAAUCAUCCAGAGAGGACAUAUACACGAGAUAAUAUAUAUAUAUAUUUUAAUCCCCUACAAAGGAAAUUUAAAAUGAAAAAAUUGUAUGAAAUAACAAACUAUUAAUUCAAAUUAAAUGUUAUAGCCAUAGUUUAUUUUAUUUGUAAUUUGCAGCAAACAUCCCAUUUUUUUGUCAUCUGAUUCGGUAUACAAUUAGUCAUUUUAUAUAUUUCGGUAUAAAAUGUGUGUGUUUGUAUAAAGCGAGAGAAAAGUGUAUAUACAAAUACAAAUACAAAUACAAAUACAUAUAUUUUCGCUUAUACACUUGUAAUUAUAGAAAUACAAAUCUUAUUAUACAAAUUACAAUAAAUGAAUUUAUACAAAACUGAACAAUUUGUAUAAAAUUCGAUGUAUCUAGCGAACUAUACAAAUCAAAAGCUUCAUAGCAAACAUAAAAUUUGCUAUGGAGUGCAAUUAUGCAAACUAUAGCUAUAACAUACAAAUAUGAUUUUUAUGUUUGUUAUAUGUGAAAAUUGCUCAUUUAAAAUCCCUUCAAAGUCGAGUUUGUUGUUGUUAGAGUUCCGUGUGAGCUGUUUUCUCAAAAUUGGAUUUUAAAGACUUUAUAUUUUAUGUUUUUCUUUUCUUAUAGACGUACAAUUGCAUCAGGUUUUCCAAACUUAUGUUGUAUUCGUAGAUAUUCUUAUACUAGUAUCAACAGGUCGUGGGAUUAUUUUAGAUUUGAUUCUUUUAUUCCACACUUGUGAUUUAAUAGGAACAAUUUAUGAACUGGUUGUCAAAUAUUUAUAUACAAUAUAUGUAUAUUAUAUUUAUAUCCUAUAAAUACUUGUCUUUUAUUUUUACUUUUAAAUAAUAACGUAUAAAUAUUGCACAAAAUUUGAAAUUUUGAUGUUCCAAAAAAAUAAUUAUUUACAUAUAUGUAUGUAGUGUUUACUUGGUGAAUACAACGGGAAAUUAUCCUUUUCAGUGUCAAAUAUGGAUUUUGUGUUUUGGAAAUGAAAAGUUACCAAAAAAGAACAAUAAGAAAUCCUUCUCCACAUCGAGUUAGGAUUCAUCAUUUUAGUAAAGUAUCCAAAAAACAAAAAGUAGAAAAUAAUACAAAAGUUACCAAAAACAAACAAACACAGUUAAACUUAGGAUUGAUGAUAUCUACUAUAAAAAUAGCGCCGGUUGCCCCUCUGUUAUUAUUCACAAAUCAAUAUAUUACAAAUUAGUAUUAGGAAUAAUAGUUAUUAUGGAUCAAUGGAAGAAGCUUCACGUGUUAUUAUUCACAAAUCAAUAUAGUACAAAUUAGUAUUAGGAAUAAUAGUUAUUAUGGAUCAAUGGAAGAAGCUUCACGUUCUUGAUGCUGGAUCUUUUGGAAAAGUAUAUUAUGUCGUCAACAUCCAUCCUUCUUCUUUCUUAUCUGCUUCCGUUGCUGCUGUUAAAUGUGUUGAUAUGCACCGUUCUAUUUCACUCCAACAAGAAGCACAAAUCUUGACAAAUCCUCUCCUUACGUGGUUCAAUUCAUUGGAGCAGACGUUAGCAUCGACAAUGAUAAUAUUCCAACUUACAAUUUGUUUCUUGAAUAUGCAUCUGAUGGAUCACUCCAUGAUUUGAUCAACAAUUACAAGAGAGGAAUGAGAAAGAUGUCAGAAUUGGAAGUAGGUUUCUAUACAUAUCAAAUCUUAAAGGGUAUUCAACACAUACAUAAGAAAGGGUGGGUUCAUUGUCAUGCUAAUGUUUUGGUUUUGGAUAAUGCUGAACGUGGUGGGAUGCACAAGUUGAAGUUGACUGACUUUGGAUUGUCGUUGAGAGUUCCCAAAGGAGUGGCCUAUAUAUAUCUGGAAGUACGUUGAGCAAUCGAGGGACUUUAAUUUACGCUCCUCCAGAAUCUUUGACCAGUGAUUUUCAUGGCAGAGCUUAUGAUAUAUGGUCGCUGGGCUGCACCGUGGCAGAGAUGAUGACUGGGAGUCGUGUUUGGAUUUAUCGCAACACUAGAGAUUUGCAAUCACAGAUUAUGAAUGAAUACCCUAUGAUUUGGGGUAAUGUUUCUGAGAUCGCCAAUGAUUUUUUACACUAGUGUUUGAUUAAGGAUCCUCUAAGAAGAUGGACGUCGGAACAACUACUCCAGCAUUCAUUUAUUCAGCAAGCUAUAUGCACUCAGAUGACUGAAACUCAGCGGAGGACAGCAAGGGUCAAUCCUUUUGGUUGCACAGUUCCAGUACCUGAGAAGCAUUUAUUACUUCAUCAACUAGUUUAAGGAUACAAUGAGAUUGCAAAAUUAAGCACUUAUUGGCUGCUGUUGAUGUAUUAUUAUUUUACAUAACACGAAUUCUGUAUAAUACUACUUGGAUAUUGCAUAUCUUUCUAAUAAAAUAGUGAAACAGUUGCUUGUUCCUAUCUAGAUUAAAUUAUUUUCUGAUUUAACUAAAUUUAGUUAUGCUGGGAAGAAAACGUUGCAAUGUCUAAUGAAACACUUGUAUGAAAAAACUACUCUUAAUGGAAGAACUGGAAAUUAUCACCUAAACAUUACUUAAUCUAAAGAAAGUACAAUGAGUGAUCAUAAAGGAAAAUGCAUGAUAAAAUAGAACUUACUGACGAAAUUAGACGAAAACAAGGCUAAAGGAAAUUUGAAAUGAGAAAACCAAACAUCAUAGAAAUUGCGAAAGUCAUUUUCUGGGGUUGGGUUACAAGAAAUAUUUUUCAAGGAAAACAUCUUCCACCCAAAGGGGGAAAAUGACUACCCUUACUUCCACCUAAACACUUAAAAGACAUUGCAAUCAAUCUUUAAUACUCGAAAAAUUUCAACACUUUCUGUUUGCCACAUUAUAGUUAUCUUAAUAAAUAUACCAUCUCAAAAAAAAGUAAUCUUCUAUAAAUAUUUUUACUUGAAAAGUAGUUUUUAGUCUCCGACCAAAUACCUGAAGAUAUCUUUCACAAGAUGAGUCAUUUUUUCAGAAAAUAGUUUUUGGAAAAUGUUCAGAGUUUUGCCAAACACACGAACAUGAAAAUGGACAACUAAAACCAAGUUGUUUCUCUUAUAAUAACUGCAGUGAAAGAUCCCCAGCAAGCUACGGAUCUCAAUCUUGCAUUGACUUGGUACAUGUAGGAUAAGUUCUCUUUCCCACAAUGGCAGAUCUUUUCCAAUUGCCGCCCGAGAAAGAUUCUUAAUUGUACUGAAGACUGAGAAUCUAAUUAACUCUAGUAUUAAAUUACUUGCUAACAGACUAGUAUAAAGAAGGGUUAAGGCAUCUGCCUGUUAACAACAUCAAAAGUUCUGUAACUUCUACGUACUUAUUAAAUGACCAGCGAGCUUAUACAGGGAGAAAUUAAGCUCCAUAAGACUAGGCAUUUAGCAUGGUGGAUCGAUUCAGCUUUAUGUAAGGAAGAAACAAAAAUAUGGAGGUGAGCUCCAUAAGACUUGUCCAGAUGAAUCAUGAAGCUUUUCCAUAAAUGAAAAGAAAUCCAGUGACAAAGGUCAAAAUAGGUAUUAGAGCUACUAUCUUAUGGGAAGUUUCCAGCGACCCAAUCGACUAAGAGAUGAGAUUUCUGGAUUACCUCAGGUACAUCUCUUCGGUGACUGAUCAUACUUUUUUAGUGUUUGAUGUUAGUAGCCCCAUUUGCUCAGUAAGAUGUUCCAUGUGCUGAACAUUGUACCAUCCAUUUUCUAGCGACUCUGUUUCAGUAGUGUUAAUAUUUUCUAUUUCAACCGAGCCCAUCUCUUCUGACUCAGUAGGGUAUAGGCUUUGAAGAAACUUUUCCCAGGAGGGAUCACCCACACUAGGAGGUUCUCCAAUAUCGUCAAUCAAAGCACUUUCCCACUUGAUUUGAAGGUCGGGGGGGAAAAUAUCAUUUUCCAAUGGCAAUUUUCCAUUUCCCCACAAUGUGGGAUCCAUGAAAGAAUCAUGGCCCCUCUCUGUUCCAUUAAUAUCCAUAUUGUUUUCAGGCACAAUUUCUUGUAACUGCGAGGGCACAGGCAUAAUCAUAUCUGAUGAAAACGGUAAAAUAGGUGGCAAAUCUUGAGCUCCAACCAGGGAACUGCUCUCUGAAAACUGAAUGUUGGCAGACAAUGAACUUUGUCCUGCAAUAGCUGAAGUUGCACUUGCAAAUGGCUGCGAAAAAGCAUGUGAAACUUCCUGAAGAGUGACUCCUGAAAUUCGAUUGUUACUUCUGCCAUCGAAUGCAUCACCAGUCGGUGAACUUUCAGGACUGUUGCUGAAGUUCUCUAACCUAGGAGAAGAAUCUAGUUCCGGUAUCUGCCUGAGCAUUCCUUUCACUGCCUCAUUCAUUAUAGGUUGGUACUUUACAAGCUGUCCAUCAGCAGGGCUAACAGAAUGAUCAUCUGAAGGAAUAUCUUGUCUAAUCCUACGUUUCUUGUUUCCUUCCAUCUUGCGCUUAUUGUUGUCAUUUUGCUGCUGUACAAACUGUGCCAAGAAUCCAGGGCUGUUAACAGCUUUUGCCAGGAAAGACAUCAUCUGUUGCUGCCGCUGCUCCAUAAUCUGAAGGUUCUGCACCAUGGUUUGCAUCUGAUUAUCGGUAGUCUGCUGAUGUUGUCUCAGCUUAACCAACUCCUGCAUAAGCACAUUCUUGUCCCUCUUCAGCCACUCAACCUCUUUCUCAAUCCCAAAAUUUCCAACCUCGACACAAGCCCCAACCGACGCACUCUGACCAUGCAGUUGCUGCUGCUGCUGCUGCUGCUGACUCUGUCCAUGAGCAGGCUUGCGCCUGCUAAUAUUUUUAAGCAGAUGCUUUUGACCUCUUAUGAAUCCAUCAUUAGAAAAUUUCCAGUUGUCCGAACCAACCUUUCUAAAGCCCUGUUUGUAGAACAAGAAAGAGAAAUAUUAAAAAGGAAGCCCAACUAGACGUUCACUAUUAAAGUAUUUCUCUAACAUGUCGUAAUUAGUCAAGUAGGAAAAGAAAAGAAUAUUUCACAAGUGACUUCACAUAAUCACAAUGACUAGCUAAACUUUACCUUAAAAACCCAAAGAAAAUCUACAAAUAAUUAGAGCUUGGUUCAAACUCAAAGUAGCACCUUAUCUCCUAAUCAACUUUUAGGCAGAACGGAAUAGGAAAAUAUCUACAGCCUUAAGAACAAGAUGACAUGAUGAGAUGGAAGCUUAAGAGUAAUGCAAUCUUAGGAUGCAUUUGGAAAGAACACAUCUUAACAACCUCGCUCUUACUAGAAUUGUCUAAUAGCUCCUAUAUAAGGAACCACUUGGUAUUGAGUUUUGAUUAUAAAAACAAUUAGUUUUCUCCCUGCUCGGCUCUUUUUUAACUAGGUAUCAAAGAUAAGGAGGAAAGACAUCCGAGUCUAGGCAAUACACUUGUCGUUGAAGUUAUCUGGCAAGUUAAAGAGGCGGUUCAUUUAUAGUCUAAAAAAAAUUGUUUUAGUCUCAUCAACAAGUCGGUGAAUUAACAUAUUAGGAGCUUCACGUCGAUGAGACUAACAUAGUGACCCAAAGAGCUCACUGUUCUUUGAUGCACGCACCCACAUGUGAUGUGGCUAUCCCUAUCACUCACUGAUUAGUAACUUCACAGGCCACGUGUGCAGAGAUCAUCAUAUGUGUCACGUCAACAUUAUUUCUGCAUUCUCAGUCCACAACAGUAGAACAUGAAUUUGGAUUGAACCUAGCAUGUUGAAUUGCUCUCUCUCCUAUCAACAUCAAAUACUGCCUCCAUUUAGCUGUAUGCAUUGAUAGUAUUAUCAUCACUACAUGGAUAAUUUCACUCACUUCUAGACAGAAGAGUUGCGAUGACUCAAAUACUUUUGGGGAUAUAGAUUACUCAGUCACCUCAAGAAUGGCCAUCUCUCAGAAAAAAAUUUACUCUACAUAUCCUAGAGGGAUUGUAAGCUGAUUGACUACCCAUUUUCAGUUGUAACAUCAUCUUGGAGAAACAAAAAGGGUUACUUUGUCCAAAACUCAUAGCUCAUUUUGAAAUUCUAUCUGAAUAAAAAUAGUUUCAGCUUUUAGAUGAAAUGAUCUCACACACUUGAACAUGGUAGCAGAGCAAACAAAGGUCGUGGGAUCAAGUCUUACCACCACUCAUUGCUUAAAAGAAUUUCCAUGUGCUUGCCCGUGAAAAGAUACAGGAUGUGAGGGCGUGUGUUGAAGAGAUUGGUCAGACACUUCAACACCCACUAAAUAUCUAUCAAUCAAAUAUAUGUUGUGAAAUGACACUUCAACUAAUCAAAGACAAAAAGAAUCCAUAUAAAAUAUUGUCGCUAUCAAUUGAAAGGUUUUCGAUAACAAUCUUCUUUCUACUUAAAUUGAAACAUUUCCGAUCACAAGAUUGACACCAUAAAGUUUAGCAUUUCCAAUCAACCAAAGCACACCCAAAACAUUUCAGCUAAAAAAUUCAAAAGAUGCUAAGCAUAGAACUACGAAUCACCAAAGAACCCAAAACGAGUGAAGUUAAAUCAGAAAAAAAAACUCAACUAAAACCAAGAGAAAUGCAUACAUAAGUGUUCAGCUGACGAACGAAGCUGGAGAAGUUACUGUGCUUGAAAUACUUAGGCAGUAACUCCUUGGCGAGCUCCGGUGGAUCCCAAAUCACAAAGCUGCUGUCGGUAGGACUCCAUGAAACGAUCUUGUCAGUACUCGGGUCAUCAACCAUAUCAUAAGUCUUCAUCAAAAAAGGUGGUAGCGUAUUUGUGCUAGCCAUCGGCGCCGGUGUCGGUUCCGGUACCGGAGAACUUCCUCCGGCGUCCAUUGAAGUAGAACCCAUUGCUAAACGAAGGAAUUAAAUUUUCAAUUGCUUAACACAACGCUGAUCAUAUAAUAAUUUACAAAUACUGAGGGUUUUGGAGAUUUAGAAACGGAAAAUUGGAAGAAGAAAAAUACUAAGUUUUAGAGAGAGAAAGACGAUUGAUUGGGUACGAAAGUGUUGAGAGAAAAUAGUUUGUACGGCGAGGGAAGAAGAAGUGGACAUAUAUAUAUAUAUAUCGGAGGGAAAAGGGAAAGAGAAGUUGGUAUUUCUGGUUUUUUUUUAGAAAGUCUAUAAUUAUAGCCUUGUUGGCGAACAUUUUGGAAGAUUUAAAGUGUAAAAAAAAUAAAAUAGUACUGUAAUUAAAAUUUGAGAUAUUUUGUUAAAUAUUUUUGAGAAAAUAAGUAUUAAAUAGUAUUUCAUUGGUUUCAUUUUUACCGGUUAUUAUAUCUUUUGAGAGUUAUUAAUUUUUUAUGUUAAAUUGAAUCAGAUUAAUUUUUAAAAUUAAAAUUUAGAUAUUUAGAAAUUAUACAAAAAAUAUUAUAAGUUGUAAUUCUUCUUAUAUUAAUAUGACGAAAAAAUAUUUUUAGAUAUUUAUCAAAUUUCAUGUAGUUUGACUCUUGAGAAGCAAAACGUAACAAGUAAAAGUGGUUAGAAGAGUAGAUUUUCCCAAAAGUAUUUUUUUAGAAAAAAGAACAAUUUGAGGAAAUAUUUUUAGCAUCACUUUCUAUUAAUUAAUUCAAUCCGUAAUUAUUAUUCAAAAGUACUUUUGAAAUUGAUUAAUCAAAUACAAUUUAUUUCUCGUCUUGAAAAAAUAUACUUCUCAUAAUAAGUUAAUUUUAGAAAUUUGACCAAACAAAUUAUAUGAUUGUAUUUGGUAUAAAACAAAAUGUUCUUAACAAAAAAAAUAUAUUUUUUAAAAUAAAUAAUUUUGAAUUUAUCCUUUUUCAUUUGAUAAGCACUUUAAAAAGACAAUAUCUACUAACAUGGGUUGUGGUGUACUGAUGGGACUGUUUCACCCUUAACCAGAUGUCUCAGAUUAGAGCACUAAGGGAGUGUCACUCCGGGCCUUGCAAUGUGGAUCCGGAUUUAGUCGGGGCUCAAAUGUGGGCUUCGGACAACGGAUGGAAAACCGAAAAAUAAUUGUAUUGAAAUUUAUCAAUAAUACUCCCUCCAUUCCUAUUUAAUUGUCACCAUUUUAGGUUUCAUGUCCUCAAAAACUAGGUAAAUUUACCAUUAUACAUUUAUUUAGUGUUUUCUUGAAAUCAAGUUUUUAAUAAAUGAACAUAAAUUAAUUUAUUUUGCUUAAUUAAUUUGAUUAAUGAACAUAAAUAAAUUAUUGUAAUUAAUUUUUUUAUAUUAAUAAAAUUUUAUGAAAUAUCAAAUAUUAAAAAACAUUUAUUUUUAAUAAAAACCAUAUAAAUAGAAACAGAGAAAAUGGCAACUAAGAGGUAGGAUGGGAAUGUAUAGGGGUGGUGGAAGUUGGCAGCUUUCAAAAUGAAAAGGAGACAAUGUGCUUGAAUUGCUGAAAUUUUUAAUUUUUUUUUUAUAUCUUCGAUGUGGGUUAUUAUUUUACUAAUUUUUAAAAUUUAUUUUUUUCGAAAAAUAUCUCCCAUUAUAACUAACACAAACUAUUCUAUUUUGUUUUCUUCUUUUUUCUUCAUCCCUUCCUUUUCUUUGUGCAAAAUUCAAUCAAGUUUUAUGAUAAGAAUGUAUUUGCAUCAAAUAUAUAUUAAGCUAUUAAAAUUAAUUUCAACAAUUAAAAAAUUCAAAUAAAGUAUAUAUCAUUCAAUUAUAAUUAAAUGAUUAAUAUAUGUAUAUAUAAAAUACAUAUUUUAUAUUAUUAUUCUAAUGUAAAUACCUUUGUGUAUAAGUAUUUACGAAGUUAUAUUUAUGAGAAAAUAUUAAAAUUUGCUCCUGCACCAUAUAAAGUAUUCAUAUUUUCGUUAUUAGUUGGAAUUGGAAUGUAGUGUCCAUGCCUCUGCUAAACUGGCACAUUUGUCCUCUUUCAUUAUUUUUAAAAAAAAGUGAUUCGCCUGAUUUUAGUCAUCGAAAAGAGUACAUAAAUGAUAAUUUUCCACCGUUGAUCCGUUAACUUCAGACACAUAUUUAGACUUUUUCCCAAAAUACAAAAAGGAAAACACAUUAACUUGAUUUCUUUUACAAACACCUUACAAGUAGUUUGGUAAGUUGUUUUCUAUAAGGCAGGUUUGAUUAUGCAAUAUGAAAUCAUAAUAUAAAAUUAUGAGAUAAAAUUAAAAUUUUAUUUAGACAUGUGAUUUGAACUUUUUUAUGUUGUAUGUUUCCUUAUAAACAUAAAUAUUUUAUAAGUUGUAAAACUAUUAAAAUUGUCUCAAUUCUUUAUAUAAUCUUAUCAAAUUAAGCACAAGUUUAUAAAAUCGCACAAUACACUAUCACAAAGAUAUUCUUAAAAAAUACAAUAUUUAUUGAUCAAGUUUUAAUUCAAUAAAAAAAUAAAAUUAAACAUAAGUUUUGGUGUACUACUCUUUAAUAUAAUCCUCCAAUAUAGUACUGACAAUCUUCUCACGUUGAACUUGCAUUUCUCGUUCAUAUAAUUGAGAAAAUGAACCAACAUUGUUAGUUUAAGCCAUUUGUUGGUCAAUAUGGUUGUUAAAUAUAUUUGAUAAAAAAAAAUGAAUUUGGUGAAUAUAAAUAGUAGGGUAGAGAUUGAUUUGAAGUAAUGAUAAAUUCUAUGUUAGUGAGAAUAAUCAUUAUAUGAGAUCUAAAUGGUUUAAAAAGUAAUGAUAGACUUAUAAAUUUUAUUUACAUGUGAAAUAAAUGGAUAGUAUAUAUAUAUACAUAUAUAUAUCAUCAUACUAUAGAAGUGGUGGUUCCUCAACUACUACCAAACCAAACAAAAAUAGGCCACGUGGGGCUAAUUAAUAUUUCUUUCUUUUAUAUAAUAUUUUCUAUUUCUACUUUCUAUUUCUUUCUAUUAUAUUCUAUUUUCUAUUCUACUUCUAUCUAUUUUAUUAUUAUUUUUUACUUACUUACUAUAUAUAUAUAUAUUAGUAAACCAAUCAAAAAUGGCCACGUGGGCCUAAUUAAUAUUUCUUUCUUUUAUAUAAUAUUUUCUAUUUCUACUUUCUAUUUCUUUCUAUUAUCAUCAUACUAUAUAUCAUACUAUAUAAGUGGUGGUUCCCUUGGACUACCAAGGGUAUUCCCGUCAUUUCCUUCCUUAAAAGAGCUCCUACCAAUACUACCAAACCUAUUAAAAAUGGCCACAUAGGGCUAAUUCUAUAUAAGUGGUGGUUCCCUUGGACUACCAAGGGUAUUCCCGUCAUUUCCUUCCUUAAAAGAGCUCCUCUAAUACUGCCAAACCAAUCAAAACUGGCUAUGUAGGGCUAAUUAAUAUUUCUUUCUUCAUCAUCAUCAUUUUUGCUCUCAAAUACUAUCAAACCAAUCAAAAAUGGCCACGUAGGGCUAAUUAAUAUUUCUUUCUUCAUCAUCAUACUAUAUAAGUGGUGGUUCCCUUGGACUACCAAGGGUAUUCCCGUCAUUUCAUCAUAUCAUACUAUAUAAGUGGUGGUUCCCUUGGACUACCAAGGGUAUUCCCGUCAUUUCCUUCCUUAAAAGAGCUCCUACCAAUACUACCAAACCUAUCAAAAAUGGCCACGUAAGGCUAAUUAAUAUUUCUUUCUUUAUCAUACUAUAUAAGUGGUGGUUCCCUUGGACUUCCAAGGGUAUUCCCAUCAUUUCAUCUAUAUAUAUAUAUAGUAAGUAAAAAAAAAUAAAAAAAUAGAUAGAAGUAGAACAGAAAAUAGAAUAUAAUAGAAAGAAAUAGAAAGUAGAAAUAGAAAAUAUUAUAUAAAAGAAAGAAAUAUUAAUAGAAAGAAAUAGAAAGUAGAAAUAGAAAAUAUUAUAUAAAAGAAAGAAAUAUUAAUAGAAAGAAAUAGAAAGUAGAAAUAGAAAAUAUUAUAUAAAAGAAAGAAAUAUUAAUAGAAAGAAAUAGAAAGUAGAAAUAGAAAAUAUUAUAUAAAAGAAAGAAAUAUUAAUAGAAAGAAAUAGAAAGUAGAAAUAGAAAAUAUUAUAUAAAAGAAAGAAAUAUUAAUAGAAAGAAAUAGAAAGUAGAAAUAGAAAAUAUUAUAUAAAAGAAAGAAAUAUUAAUAGAAAGAAAUAGAAAGUAGAAAUAGAAAAUAUUAUAUAAAAGAAAGAAAUAUUAAUAGAAAGAAAUAGAAAGUAGAAAUAGAAAAUAUUAUAUAAAAGAAAGAAAUAUUAAUAGAAAGAAAUAGAAAGUAGAAAUAGAAAAUAUUAUAUAAAAGAAAGAAAUAUUAAUAGAAAGAAAUAGAAAGUAGAAAUAGAAAAUAUUAUAUAAAAGAAAGAAAUAUUAAUAGAAAGAAAUAGAAAGUAGAAAUAGAAAAUAUUAAGUGGUGGUUCCCUUGGACUACCAAGGGUGUUCCCGUCAUUUCCUUCCUUAAAAGAGCUCCUACCAAUACUACCAAACCUAUCAAAAAUGGCCACGUAAGGCUAAUUAAUAUUUCUUUCUUCAUCAUCAUCAUACUAUAUAAGUGGUGGUUCCCUUGGACUACCAACUUACUAUAUAUCAUCAUCGUCAUACUAUAUAAGUGGUGGUUCCCUUGGACUACCAAGGGUAUUCCCGUCAUUUCAUCAUACUACCCUCAUCUAGUAUAUAUAUAUAUAUGUGGGUUGUUUUUACAAAAUAUAAAUUUGUGGGGUCAAUUUUUGUAUUUGAAAAUUUUCAAAUCGUGUUUUGAAAUUCCCAAAUUAUGAUUUUUGGAGAAUUUGAGAUUUUAUCUCAUGAUAUAAAAUCAUGAGAUGAAAUCAAUAUGAAAUCACAUGUCCAAACAUUGAUCUCAUCUCAUGAUUUCAAAUUGUUUUUGUUCUUCUAUAAAUAAAUAAAACAAUUCAGUUUAUUUGUAUAUUAAUUUAAUAUAUAUAUAUAUUACAAUUUUUUUAGUUAUAUCUCUUAGUAAUUUGAUUUUUAUUAUUAAUAUUUCAUAAAAAGUUAAUGACAAGGCUCUAUUAUUUUAAUCAAAUACUUUAAAAACAUCGAAGAUAUGAAUUUAUACUUAUUGUAUUCCAUAAAAAAAAAACUCAUGAUGAUUAAAUUCAUUUACGCUUAUGAAAUCUAGUAUACUUUAAAAGGUAUAUUAAAAAAAAUUACCUAUAUAUAUAUAUAUAUAUAUAUAUAUGUUUUGAUCUACUCAUAAAGUAGUAAAUCUGAAGUUUAUUUCUCAAAUAGUAAAACUUUUAAUGGGUUUUGUUAUAACAUUUGGUUGUGUUUUGUUAUAUAUAAUGUCUUGAUCCACUACUUUGUUGUGUUUUGUUAUAGGUUUUGUAAAUGAUUUUUAGUUGUUUGAAAUGUAUUUUUCUUAGAAAGCAUAAAAUAUAAUUUAAAUAAUGUCAUUUUUAUAAAAAUAAAUUUAGGGUGAUUUUUUAUUUUUUUUUAUAUAUAUAAUGAUAACAAAGUUUGGAUAUUUUCUAAAUACAACUUUAAAUUGUAUUUCAAAUUUUCAUGAUUAAACUCUUGAUUUUAAAUAAAAUGGAAAUUUUUUUCCAAAAAUAUAAAAAUAAAAAUUCUCAUCACCAAAUAGGUCCUAAAAUUGCAUUAUUUAGACAAAUAAUGAAGUGUAUAGUGCUCUUUGUGAAAAUGUUAGGAUGAUUAUGAGUAUAAACACAAAGAUAAAGGUCUAUUUUGAACAUUUAGGAAAAUAAAAUUUAAUAAUGAAAUCCCCUCCUGCUCUCUCCUUCUUCCGCCAGUGUUCUCCUAGUUCUAAUUUGGCGGGAAAAAGAUGAGCUCGUCGGCGGUUGAGCCGGAAUCUCCCGAUCUAGUGUGCCAGCUUGACAACGUUCAAGGCGUCGUCGAUGCUCUCACUUCCGUUCGCUGGAAACGCCAACAGGUUCCUUCUUCAGCUUCUUUUGCAGAACAAAAUACUCCUUAAAUUCCAAUUGUAUCAAUAAUUUUCUGUUUACUCCGUCACUAACUCAAAAUUUCCACCAGGAUGCAGUUUUAGAGCUAUCGGAACACGGCAUAGUGUUAAUUGUUGAGGAAACCGCUUGUCUUCAGGCCAAAGUUUACUUGCAACGAGAGGUUUUCAAUUUUCUAUUAUAUGAUGUGAAUUUGUAGCCUUCUGAUACUGAAUUAGGUGUUUAUUAUUUUGUGUAGUUAUUUGUUCGGUAUGAAUAUAGCGCAGAAGGGAGGCCGCGUUUUGGAGUGAGCUUAGGGUUAUUUGUUGAUUGUCUGAAUACAUUUUCAGUUCAAGGACAUUCAAGUGCUAUUGAACUACGCUAUCCUGGUCCUGAUAUGCAGCUUCUUCUCAAGUAAUUAUCCUCCAAGCCUCGUUUUCUAUAAUUAGUUUGUCGAAUAGCUUUUGGCACAUCCAUGGUAGUUGUAUGAUUGUUGAAAAUGCUCCAUUGGUUUAUCUAGGGUUGUUUAAUCAAAUGCAUUUUCAAUUGACUAGAUAGAGUACAAUUUGAAAAAUUGACAGGGUGAAUUAAGACCAAAGGACGAAGAAGAGAGAAAAAAUGGCAUCUUUAGUUAUUUGCCGCCCCACUUUCCCAUGUGAGGACAGGGGCAGACCUAACAUUUGAAGUUAAUGGGUGCACCUCUUGAUAUAAUAUGCAUAUUUUUAAAAGUUUCUUUAAAAUUUCUAUAUAUGUUUAUGGUAUUCGAGUAUGAUACAGUGAGCACACUGCUUAUAUGCUGGAUCCACCUUUGGUCUCGAGGUCAUACCAACUUACAUGGCAUUUUAAUUAGCAUAAAUGUGAAUUAGUGAUAGAACAAGUCUUUUUUUUUUCAUUUAUGUGCAUGGCUUUCUAUACAUCUGCCUUUUAUUGAGCGGAAGUCUAGAAAGACCUCAAUAAAGAGAUAAAGUGAAAUGGUAGUUGUCAAUGUUUAAGUAAUUGAGCAGUUUUACCCUUAAAUCAAUGUUGAUGAAUCACAUUCUUUACAAGUUUUGUUAUAUGUGUUAGCCUUCCCUUGACUGAUAGAGGAGUUCUGCAGAAUCUAGGAAGCAAAUCACUUUAUCUUUAGGCACAUAUUUGCUUAUUCUCAAGUCUUCUUUCACUGGAUGGAGCACCAUUGACUAGCUUUAAAGUUUUGUAACUUAUUUUUCUAAUUCCGGGGUUAGGUCUGUUGAAUCUUCAGAUUCUUGUACUUAUGCGGAAAUCAGAACAAGGAUUCCUGAUACAAUAUCAUGGGACUACAAUUUUGAACCUGCUGGAAGUACUCCUCUCAGUUUUACUGUGAAGGUAAAUAUUCGCUUUGGCAGCAGUUAAAGAUAGUAGAUCCAGGUAUAUGUCCGUUGGUGACCACCAGCUCUACAAAACGCAUGUAUCUGUAUGCUUCACAUCUUAUGCUUUCACACUAGACAGGAUGGACUAAAGAUCAUAUAAUUAUCAUAAGUCACUUAGAGGAACUCGCUCUUGUUUCCUAAUAUUUACUGAAAAUUGAAAUUCUGCAAUUGUUCUUUUAUUUAGUCUUGGGAAAUAAAUGCUAUCUAUCAGGUUAGUGAGUAUAUCAGGCUAACUGAGUGAAUCUGGUUGUAGACAGGCUUUCUUUGAUGUUUGUUAUAAAGCUUGGCUUCAGUUUCUUCCUAAGAGCUGAGGAAUAGAAAAGGUCUUAAACAUUUUACUGUCUGGUCUGUAUUCAAGCAAAGUAUAUGUUCUUUCUCCCAGGACUGUACAGUAGGUAUUAUUUCAUCAUUGUUGUACUCUUUUAUCAUUUGAGGAAAGGUCGCAGGGAAACUUCCACAAGGAAACUUGUCAAAUAUCCUAAAAUGUUAAUAUUUCAUCCAUACUUCUGUUUUGUGGUAGAUUGGUUAUUCCAAUACUUUGACAUGGAACUUAUGCCUCUUUUUGUUGCACAAGGAAGAGUUCACUAUAUGUUUUGCAUGCCAUAAAUGGAGUACUUUUGCUGGUUUUGUUUAUUUUAGGCCUUGAGUGCAAGGUUAUUGUAAGCGGUAAAAAAAAAUCACAGACAAAUUCCCUGAUUUUUAUAUGUUGAAAGAUCAAUAUAAAAUGUUCUUUUUGUUGGUAGAGUUAGAAACCAUUAGCUUUCAGAAUUCCCGGCUCAAAACACCAUUACAUUUAGUUGACUGCGGAUGGCCUAGGUAAAAAAUAAAUUUGGAAUGAGAAGUUUUUGCAUGUGUCUAGUAUUUUACUUCUCCAGCAAUCUGAGAUUGUGAACACCUGAACAGGUGGCUACUUUAGUAUCACAAAUUCAGCUUAGUCUGCUAGUGCACUACACACUAUCAAACUAACCCCAUUUCCAGUUCCUUGUUCUAUAGAACUUUAAACUUGAAAUUUAGGUUUAGUAUCUUGACGACAUUUGAUUAGUUGAGUGUGAAUGAGAAAUUAUCUGUCUCCAUAUGGUACGCCUCUUUCAGGAGGCUGCAGCUGGAAAUAUAACCUAAUUUUCUGCUAUUAUAUAUUGUGGACUUUUUGUCCCUGAUACUGACACAAAUGUGUGCUAGCCCAUCAACCAAAUUCUCUGCUAAUGAUGCCCCAGAAGCAGCUGCUUGGGUUCAAAACUGUUGUUUCCUAUUUUAACUAAAUUUGUCAGUGACCCUGGUCAUUUGCAGAAGCUAUCAACAAAUCCAAGGGUAGUGCUCCGUUCUUCUGGUUUCCUCUCCAUAUUCUCUCUUAAGUUUGUUCAAAAAGGAGGGAAAUGGAAAGAAAGGUAGGUUAAUAGCGAGAAGGAAUAAAGAAGAGGAAUUGAAGGAGACCAAUUUUAAUUGUUUAGUUUGGUUCAAGGGGAUUUGAAGAGGGAAGAAAGUUAUAUCCGUUGCCUUCCUCUCGAAGUAAAGUUGUACUCUUCUUCCAUGCUUUUGAAGUUAAACAAGUCACCCCAGAAGUAAAAUUUGUUUUAUUCCUUCUCUUACACUACUUGUGUUUCUAAAUGGGUAAAGCAAAAAUCAAAAAGAAAACUUAGAAGUUUCACUGAUUUUGUCAAUUGUUGGCUUGCUGGUAAUUUCAAGUCCCAUGAGUAGAGCUUAAGCGACCUUUCUGAAGUUCAAAUUUAUGCAAGUGUAAGGUGCAGUGAAUUCAUACGUGAAAUGUAUUUUCUGUCCAUUCUAUGACAAAGUUGUUGGCAAAACGGAUUGUGAUUGGUUGAAGUCUCAUUCCUUUACCAUUGAGCUAAUUAUCACCAUAUCAUUGGUUCAAUUGAUAGUCUGCAGCUCUAAAGGAAGCCAUUGAUGACCUUGAGUGGCCAGGAUCAAGCAUUCAUCUUAUCCUACAGCCUACACCACCAUCGGUUACCUUUAGAGGUGAAGGCCAUGGUGACUUACAGGUACGGCUUGACCUGAUAUUUUAGUAGUAUUCUAUCCUCAUGUUCUCUACCCUCAUCUGUUUUUGCAUUCAUUUUUGCAGAUAGACUUUAUGUGCCAAGCAAACACGGAUCUUCUGGUUGCAUUUCAUUGUGAUCGUGAAGUCUCUCACAGGUUUCUCUCCUGACUGAGUGAAGUAAGAAGCCACAUGCUUUACAUUUGUGCUAGACUAUAUGAUCUGAUCAUGACCUUCACAUGGACAGGUAUAAAUACAAAUUUCUCCGUGCUACAACCUCAAACAUACCCAGCAGUGUCAUUCGGGAUAAUCGAGGAAGUAAACUGACCAUUGGUAGAGGGGGAAUGCUCAAAGUUCAGCAUCUGGUCUCAGUUGCAAAACCAGCAAUACCACACCCGCAUGUUGAUUCUGCCGGCUAUCAGCAACCCAGCCGUAUUGCUUAUAUUGAAUUCUUUGUCAAGCCAGAGGUAGAUGAAGACGAUGCGAAUGAUACAUAGAUGAUAGGAGUCUCUUGCUUAACAAAAUUAGUUGCUAAAUGUUUGUAUUGAAGGGGAGAUUGGCAGGUAGAUUUAAUGUAUAUUGGGGCAAAAAAGUAGGGACCGAAUUAUUUCGGGGAGUUUGAACCCGACGUGAAUCGAACACGCAACCUUCUGAUCUGGAGUCAGACGCGCUACCAUUGCGCCACGGAUCCCUGUUGGUUUAAAAAGCAAUUAAUUUAAUUUAUACCACAUUAGCAUGUUAUGUCAAAUAUAUUAUGUUUAUAACCCAAGUCCCAGCGACUGUCUAAGCCUUAAAAAUUUAUUAAAGUUUAGGAUAUUUAUACUGAUUUAAGGCUAGUUUAUCAUUUUAAAUAGGAUUAUAGUUAGAGCGUACAAAAGGUAUGCACUCUAUAAUUUGAAUCAAGACUUAAAGUUAAUUUUUCAUAGUCACUCAACUAAUAACUUUUAGGAUACAAAAAGUUACGUACUUUGUAGUUUGAAUUGAAACUUUAAGUUAAUUUUUCGGAAAGUAAAUCAAUUUUGUUUUGUAGGACAUAAAAGUCAUUCGACUAAUGGUAUUAUUCUUACAAAGUCGUUCAAUUUUGUUUCGUAACACAAAUUUCACUCAACUAUUAUCAUUUCAUCUAAAAUUUAUUCAACUAAGAUUUGUUAGAAACAAAAAUUGGCCGCAAAUGUGUUUGACCAGGACAUGUCAAAAUUGAUUUGACUUGCAAUUCAGGCACAUUGCUCUUUUAUCCCAGUCAAGAAAGUUGUUCGCUAGGAAAGAAGAUGAAACCUUUUUAAUGAAUUAAGUACUAAUUAACUGGGAACCUUAAUUCUUAAAACAAAUUAAAGUUGUAAUUAUUUGGAAUUAUACAGUUAAUUAAACCUAGGCUUCAAAAUGGGUCAUUAUUUAGAAUUAUAUAGUAUAAAGUUAUGAGUAUUUUAGUAAGGAAUGUUUGAGUGGAUUUUUCUCGCAAGUUUGGUCAAAGUAAUGGCCAAUGGAUGCCUAGUAAGCUCCAAAGUAUUAUGUUUAGAGCUUCACAAAACCAAUUUAACAUCUUCUUUCAUACCAAACAAAUUUUUAAAUCUCUAAAUUUUGUAUCUAAAUCUUGGAUCUUUCUUCUGACUUUGACAAGGCAAGUGCAGAAUAACGUAUUUAUAUUUUUUGUAGAAUUUUGAUAAAGACAAUUCUAUUAGAAUUAGAGAAAUCAGAAAAUCAUGGAUCGAGGGGCGCAUAAAAUGCUUAUAUUUAACUACCGUCUACAAAGAAGUGUAAUUCAUCUGUAUAUACAAAAUAGAUUUUUAUCGACCAAUAUUAAUGAUUUUCUAUGAGAAAUUAUAAAGUUUACUUUUAUUUAUUAUAAAUAUGAUGUUCGGAUUAGCUAGCACAUAUCUGAUAUUUGUUACCUAACUUAUCCAAACAGGCCAUUAAAGUGGCUACUGCCUACUAAACACACAAAAAAACCGAUCAAAAAACAAAAAAAAAUAAAGGGAACGAAAUAUUUCGGGAUUUUUGAACCCGACGUGAAUCGAACACGCAACCUUCUGAUCUGGAGUCAGACGCGCUACCAUUGCGCCACGGAUCCCUGUUGGUUUAAAGCAAUUAUUUAGUAUAUAAUACUUAAUAACUCAGAAGAAAUGUUUGGCGAUGGCAUAAAAUUAGACAGAUCAGCCAAUGAACUUAUUAGGAUAUUUUAUCUUCAACUAUAUAUAUACACUAACACUUUCCGGCGCGAAUCCGAACUUAGUCGGGCUUCAAUGUAGGUAUCGAAAAAACAUAAAUAAUUCUGCAUUUCAUAUUUUUGUUAUGAAGCUAGCUGGGAAUAAGCCAAUCUGCAUGAAAUAUAACUUAGAUCCAUUUUGUUAAUGCGUUCAAAUUAUAGGAAAAACUGUCGGUGCAUCUGAAUAAUAUUAGUACAUAAGAAAAACGUGGAGAGUCGAAAAAAAAUAAUAAUAUAACUUACCUAAUUUGGUGGUAUUUUUUUUUCUUUCUUUCAAGGAGUUCUCUUUGUUUGAUAAAUAUAAAGUGUGGUACACUAUUUAAAAUUCAUCUUCACAUCUGGAUAGAUGCAUCUUCAUUCAAAUAUGUAUAUAAUAAUCCCCAUGGAUUACAGCGCUAUAUUCAAAUAUCCACAUGGGUGAUGAGUUGCAUUAUUGUUCAAGGAUAUAUUAUAAUAAUAAACUUCUUUCUUUUUUUUCAUUCAAGAUUCGAUAUCUAUAUUGAUGUCCGAUUAAAUUCUUAUUCAUAUUGAAAAAUUCCAUAUUAGAGACAAAAUGUUCCUUGACAAAUGUUAAGACGACUCUAUAUCUAAAGAAACUCAAAUUUGAAACUUCAGAUUAAAGAUGGAAGAAUAUCUAAUACUCCACUUCGUUCCUAGUUAGUGGUUGACUUGUUUCAACUUUCAUAUGUUCCCUCCAAGAAACUUCGCUAUUGGAAAGGCUCAUGAAUACCACCACAUGAAUAAACAUUAAAGUGUCAUCUCAAAGUUAAAACUAGCUAGCUAUAAAUAAAUGCCCAACAUAUCCAACAUUUUCACACUAAAAUCAUUCAAAUUCCCAAUGUAUUCCUCUAGAACUAUCUCUUUCAUUUUUGUUUUCUUCUCAUCAUAUCAUCAACUUGUCUAGCUCAGACCAAUUUCCAUCCUAAAACAUUCUUCCUUGCAGUGAAACAAGAUCCUUCUACUCUACAAUACAUCACUCAAAUUCACCAACGAACACCUCUAGUCCCCGUUAAACUCGCAGUCCAUAUUGGUAGCGAAAAUCUAUGGGUGGAUUGCGAAACGGGCUUUAAAAGCUCAACGUACAAGCCCGCUCGUUGCGAUUCAAGGCAAUGCAAUCUCGCAAGAUCAACAGCUUGCGGAGAUUGUGUUACCGAAAAUACAACUCGUCCCGGUUGCAACGACAAUGCGUGCGAGACAACAUUGUGUCCAAUCCGGCUAUGAAUAUUUUCUAUUCUGGUGGUGAAAUCGCGGAGGAUGUUUUGACAAUCCAAUCCAUUAACGGUUCCAUUCCGGGCCCUCAAUCCCGCGGGCCCGUUGUAACUGUCUCGAAUUUUAUCUUCAGCUGUUCUCCAUCAUAUUACACCCAAAAUUUAGGCAAAAAUGUUAAAGGAAUGAUUGGAUUUGGUCAGCAAAGUCCAGUAUCAUUUGUUACUCAACUUGCAUCAGCUUUUAAAUUCAGUAGACAAUUUGCUAUUUGCUUGAGCUCAUCAACUCAACAAAACGGAAUAAUUUUUAUUGGGCAUAGGCCUUAUAUCUUUGCACUUGGCUUUGAUGCAUCGCGAGAUCUAAUCUAUACACCUAUUAUAACCUAUCCGAGUUUUUUUUUCAUCAAUCGCGGUUCACCAGAGUAUUAUAUUCAAGUUACGUCCAUUACAAUUAACGAAAAAACAUUGGCAUUGAACAAAACGUUGCUCUCGUUGGAUGAAAAUGAAGAAAAAGGGACGAAAAUCAGCACGGCCGUUCCUUACACUGUAUUGGAGCCUUCUAUUUACAAUGUUGUGAGAAAAGCUUUUAUUAGUGAAAUGCCGAAAGAUGUGAAGACUGUAGCUGCAGUGCAACCUUUUAAAACUUGUUUUGACUCGACAUAUGUUGGUAUGUCACGUCUUGGAUACAAUGCACCUAAAAUUGAUUUGGUUCUCCAUAAGCCAAAUGUGCGUUGGACUAUUACUGGAGCGAAUUCGUUGGUAAAAGUUAGCGAGCGCGUAGUAUGUUUAGCGUUUGUUGAACGAAAUCAUACGUUUGGACAGGCGAUUAUUAUUGGUGGGUUUCAAAUGCAGGACAAUCUUGUGGAAUUUGAUCUUGCUAGAAGAAGAAUUGGGUUUAGUAAGUCGCUCUUGUUCCGUCAAACUACGUGUUCGAAUUGAAAACUCCAUGAAUGAAGGUUGAUUCUUAGAUCAAUUUACAGAGAGAAUAGAAGAGAAAGAGAAAAUUGUAUUGAAUAUUAUGUACUCUGUUACAUUGAAUCUGUACCACUAUGCCUUUUAUACUUGUACACUAGUUUACAGAUACAAAAAUAUCUAAAACUGUUUUGUAACUAACUAUUGCCAGCUCAGCAUUCUGUUUAGCUGACUGCACUUAUGGUUUAGCUAACUCAACCAUUCAGCUUGUUAACUCUAUGCACUAGUUAACACUCCCCCUCAAGCUUAUGGUUGAAAGGCAUUCUUCAUUCCAAGCUUGCUCAUUAGUAGUCCAUGUUGUGCUUGUCCUAGACUCUUAGUUAGUAGAUCAGCAGGUUGAUGUUUGGUGUUGAUAUGUUCAGUUUGCAGUAUCCCUUGACAAAAUCCUUUCUCUAACAAAGUGACAAUCAAUGUCUAUGUGCUUUGUUCUUUCAUGAAAUAUGGGAUUGGCUGCUAUCUGAAUGGCUGCCUUGCUAUCACAUACCAUCUUGAUAGGAAGUGUUAAACUGACUCCCAGCUCUUUGUAUAGACCUAUUAACCAGGUUACUUCAGCUGCACAUGCAGCCAUGCUUCUAAACUCUGCUUCUGCUGAGCUUCUUGAGACUGUUCCUUGCUUCUUAGACUUCCAAGAGAUUAAACCUCCUCCAAACUUCACUAGAUAGCCUGUAACAGACUUCCUAGUUUCUAGACAUGCACCCCAAUCUGAGUCACAAUAAGCUGUUAGUUGUGUGGUCUGUUCUGCUGGCAUUAAUAAUCCUAGACCAGGAGAUUCCUUGAUAUACCUCACUGCUCUCAAUGCUGCUUCCAUAUGUGAUUGCUUAGGAUUAUGCAUGAAUUGGCUGAGUACUUGAGCAGUAAAUGCAAGGUCUGGCCUGGUCAUAGUUAAGUAGAGAAGCCUGCCUACUAACCUUUGAUACUGUGUGGGAUCAGUGAGUAGCUCAUCACCUUCAGUCUUUGAACCAAGUACCAGUUCAUCAUAUUGCACAGUCGUGAGUUUCUUGUUCAGUUCCAACGGAGUGUGAACUGGUUUAGCUCCCCCUAGGCCAGUUUCAGACACAAGUUCUAAAGCAUACUGCCUUUGUGUCAUUAAUAUUCCCUUACUGGACCUAGAAAACUCAAUUCCUAGGAAGAAUUUUAGCUCCCCAAGAUCCUUCAUCUUGAACCUUUUCUGAAUAUCUUGUUUGGUUCUGCACAACAGUUCAUGACUGCUUCCAGUGAUUAGAAGAUCAUCUACAUACACUAAUAUCACUACCACAGCAUCACCAGCUUGCUUUGUAAAGAGAGAAUAAUCAUAGUGACUUUGUUUAAACCCCAUCUGAACUAGAGCCUCAGUUAGUUUCAUAUUCCAUUGUCUGGGAGCUUGCUUUAAACCAUAUAACGACUUGUGUAGUUUGCAGACCUUUUGACACUCCCCCUGUCUAGCAAACCCAUUAGGAAUCACCAUGUAUACUUCCUCGUGUAAGUCACCAUUGAGAAAGGCAUUGUGGACAUCCAUUUGAUAGAUAAACCAACCCCUAGAGGCAGCAAGAGCCACCACUGAUCGCACAGUUACCAUCUUUGCUACUCGACUAAAGGUUUCCCCAUAAUCCAACCCUUCUUGUUGACUGAAACCUUUAGCUACCAGCCUGGCCUUAAACCUCUCAACCUCUCCUGAAGCGAGAAAUUUAAUUUUAUAAAUCCAUUUGCAGCCUAUGGGCUUCUUGCCAGGUGGUAAGUCAACUAUGCUCCAGGUUUUGUUACUCUCUAGAGCUGCAAUUUCCAACUCCAUAGCUUUGACCCAUGCAGGAUCAGUAGCAGCCUCUUUAAAGGACACUGGUUCAGUAAGAGCUGAGUAGGCUUUCAAGACUUGUCUGUAUGCAGGAGACAAGUGAUCAUAGGAAAUCUGAUUGGCCAGUGAAUAAUUACAAGUAUUGUUCUUAGACUUUGUGACAAAAUCCUGCAACCACAAAGGUGGUUUACUUGAUCUGGCUGAUCUCCUAGAGGGUACACCAGUAGUAGAUGGGAGAGAAACAGGAACCACAGGUUCUGACAUAACUGGUAUAGCAUCAUGUGAAGAUGAACUAGAGCUUAUAGGAGUCAUAUCAGUGGUCUCAGUUUGAGAGGGCAUACAGUCAGAAGCACUGGGAACAUACUCAACCACUGGAAACAUUGGAUUUGUAGAGGCAUGUAGAUGUUUAAAAGGGAAUAUAUCUUCCUGAAAUACCACAUGUCUAUUAACAAAGAAGGAAUGAGCAUGAAUAUCAUAUAAGAUGUAACCCUUUUGUGUGGAGGAGUAACCCAUGAAUACAGCAGGAAUGGCUCUUGAUGAAAACUUAUCAGGUAUUUUAGGACAAGCAGCAUAGCACAAACAACCAAACACCUUCAUAUGAGAUAAAACAGGAGAAUGGAGAUACAAUUUUUCAAAUGAGGACUUAUAGGCCAGCAACUUUGAGGGAAGCCUAUUUAAGAUAUAAACAGCAGUGGUGACACAUUCACCCCAAUACCUCAGAGGUAUAGAUGCCUGAAACCUCAGAGAUCUGGCCAUAGCAAGAAUAGUUCUGUGUUUUCUUUCAGCAAUACCAUUCUGUUGUGGUGUAUACACACAAGUACUCUGAUGUAUAAUGCCCAUUUCACACAUAAGAGUUUGAAAAUCUUUACUGAAAAACUCACACCCAUUGUCAGUCCUGAAUGUUUUGACAGUGGUAGAGAAAACAUUUUGUACUUGAAGAAGAAAGUGUUUGAUUACAACAAUGGUGUCAACUUUAGAAGUAACUAAGAAAAUCCAAGUGUAUCUACUAUAGUCAUCCACAAUAGUAACAAAGAACCUCUUCCCAUUAUGAGUGGGCACUCUGUAAGGACCCCAAAGAUCACAAUGCAAGAGUUCAAAUACAGCCUUGGACUUAUGAGUANNNNNNNNNNNNNNNNNNNNNNNNNNNNNNNNNNNNNNNNNNNNNNNNNNNNNNNNNNNNNNNNNNNNNNNNNNNNNNNNNNNNNNNNNNNNNNNNNNNNAAAUACAGCCUUGGACUUAUGAGUACUUAAAGCAAAAUGAAGUUUAGUCUGCUUGGAUAUAGGACAUACAGUACAAUGAGACUGAUCUUUAUUACUUAAGUAUCUAAGAGACUCAUGCCUCUUUAUUACAUCAAUAGGAGCAUGUCCUAAUCUCUUGUGCCAGAUGUUACUAGAUUCAGUCUUUACAGAAUUAACAUGUGCUCUACUAUCAUUAACCGACAUCUUUGGAGUGCUAGGUGGUCCUUCAUUUUAGUAUGUAAAAGGCCAUGCUCUUCCUUACCAAUCCCCUUCACCUGACCAGUGGAGAGGUCCUGGAAAACACAAAAGUCAGGGAAGAAUCCGACCAUACACUGUAAUUCCUUAGUGAUCUUAGAGACCGAGAGUAAAUUAAACUUGAACUCAGGAAGAAACAGGACAUUUGAUAUAGACUGAUCUUGGAACACUUUAGUGUUGCCAAUAUGAGAUACUGACACAGCUUUACCAUUUGGUAAGUGAACUCUGCUGGCAAUAUGAUCAAAGGCCACCUUAGCUUUGUCAAGUACAUCAAGAUUAGAAGUGAUGUGAUGCGAGGCUCCAGUAUCUAUUAUCCAUUUUCUAUUUGCAUAACUACAAGACAGAGUUGUAGGAGAGCUACCUGUAUCAUCAGCAAUUGCUAUAUUGACAGAUGAUUCAAUGACAGGUUCACCACCAGGUUUUGAGAGUAGUUGAAGAAUUUGAUGAUACUGAUCUUUAGUGAAAAAUGCUCCAUUAGGUGAACCUGCAACAGGUACUGUAUGACUGUUGGAGUUUGUUCUGAUUUCUUGUCCAGGCUCAUUUGGUGCUGCUACCUGAUUUGCAUACACACUAGAUUUCCUCUUAGAUUUGAAAUCUGCAGGAUAGCCAACAAUUCUAUAACAUUGAUCCCUGGAAUGACCUCUGCACCCACAGUGUUCACAUAUGAGAAGAUGUUUCUUAGCCUUGUAUCCACCUCCUGAGUUGCUUGCAUAACCUCCACCUGAAGUACUAGCACCACUAUAUCCCCCACCAGAACCACCAGAUCCACCAGGAAAAGGACCUUUAGAAGUUCUUGCACCACUUGUAUAGGUGUUACUUUUAUGAGAAUAUAAUGUUGUACCUUCAAUGAGCCCUGAGAUCGUGGAAACAGAACUUGCCAGAGUCCUCUGACUCUCUUGAUCAAUGAGCAAAGCAUAAGCCUUGUUAAGAGUAGGAAUAGGGCUCAUCAUAAGUAUUUGGCUCCUAGGAGGGGAGUAGGACUCAUUCAGUCCCAUUAAGAACUGCAAUAGCCUUUGAUAAUCACAAUGCUCACCAAAUUUCUUUGACUCAGGACAAGGACAACUAGGACACGGCAUAAGAGAAUCAUAUUCAUCCCAUAGGUCUCUUAACCUAGAGUGAUAUUCAGCAAUAGACAUAGUACCCUGAACUAAUGUAUGAAUCUCUCUAUGCAACUGAAAGAUUCUCGAUCCAUUAACUGUAUCAAACCUUUCUCUUAGAUCCAGCCAGACUUUGCGUGCAUCAGAUGCAUACACAACAGAACUCAGAAGUCCUGGCCUUACUGCAUUCAUAAUCCAACUUAACACUACUGCAUUACACUUCUCCCACUGAUCAUGCAAUAAUGGUUCAAACAUAGAUUUGGGAAACCUUCCAUCUACAAAACCUAACUUGCUUUUCCCAACUAAACCAAUCCUAAACGACCUACUCCACAGAGCAUAGUUCUCUGAACCUGUUAACUGAAGUGAGAUUAGAGAACUACCUGGAGUGUCUGUGUGUUGAAGAAAUAGUGGAUGAUUGUGAUCAAUCACUGGAAAUGUGACUGGGCUCGUAACUCCAUUUCCAAAUCCAGUACUAGUACCUUCAGUUGUAGUUCCAUUCGUCAUUUGAGCUAGCUUGACUUUUGAUGCUUCCUUUCAAUUCACCUUUAACAUAUGGUGAAUCUGAGCACCUGAUAGUUGCUGCUAUGAACUCAGAAUCCAGAUCGAUAGCUUUGAUACCAUGAAAACUCCAUGAAUGAAGGUUGAUUCUUAGAUCAAUUUACAGAGAGAAUAGAAGAGAAAGAGAAAUUGUAUUGAAUAUUAUGUACUCUGUUACAUUGAAUCUGUACCACUAUGCCUUUUAUACUUGUACACUAGUUUACAGAUACAAAAAUAUCUAAAACUGUUUUGUAACUAACUAUUGCCAGCUCAGCAUUCUGUUUAGCUGACUGCACUUAUGGUUUUAGCUAACUCAACCAUUCAGCUUGUUAACUCUAUGCACUAGUUAACACGAAUCAAUUUUAUACUAUGGGAAAUUAAGGGGUCGUUUUCUUUAUUUUUGAAAUUUCUUGUUCAAUAAACUUCAUGUUUGAUGAUCUUUCAAAUCUUGAUCUAGUGGAUUUAGUGUGUGUGCUAUGUGAAGCUGACUAACAUCUUCAUAUUCUUAUCAAAGAAAGUUGUACUCACUCUUGUCUCAAAUCACCUAUCAUGUUUUUCUUUUACACGUCUCUUAAGAAAACAUUAAUUAUCAUGAA
RNAcentral lists this long non-coding RNA (88481 nucleotides) under Solanum tuberosum (potato). RNAcentral's name for it is "long non-coding RNA (STUB_LNC008493)". The stretch from base 52951 to 53146 matches the Rfam family "U2 spliceosomal RNA". The record is from RNAcentral. Lineage: Eukaryota; Viridiplantae; Streptophyta; Magnoliopsida; Solanales; Solanaceae.